UUCUUUCUUAACAAAAUUCCAAAGAUGUGUAGCAUUUUUCAGAUCACAUGCGAUGGUGCUCUUUUCAAUCGUUGCUUGGAUUGCUUUCUUGGAAAAGCAGCAUACAUACGUAACCUCCAAGAUAAUCUUGAUGCCUUGGACACUGAACUGGGAAGACUAAUCGCUAAAAAGAACGAUGUGAUGAGGAGGGUUGUCGACGCUGAACGACAACAAAUGAGAAGGCUGGACGGAGUGCAAGUGUGGGUUUCGAGGGUGGAUGCUGUUAAAACUGGAGCCGAUGAACUUAUCACAGACGGCUCUGAAGAAAUUGGCAAAUUAUGUGUUGGAGGCUACUGUUCCAAGAACUGCAGGUCAAGCUACAAAUUCGGAAAACAAGUGGCUAAAAAGCUACAAGAUGUAAAGACUUUAAUCGCCGAGGGAGUUUUUGAGGCGGUGGCCACUGAGGUGGUGCCCGAGAGAGCUCCGGAACCUGUAGCAGAUAAAAGACCCACUGAGCCAACAAUAGUAGGCUUGCAAUCACAGCUUGAACAAGUUUGGAGAUGUCUUGUAGAAGAAUCAGUGGGAAUCAUUGGCCUAUAUGGUAUGGGCGGUGUUGGUAAAACCACACUAUUGACCCAUAUCAACAAUAAAUUUCUUGAGAGUCCCACAAACUUUGAUUGUGUGAUUUGGGUCGUAGUUUCAAAAGACCUGCGACUUGAAAAAAUUCAAGAAGAUAUUGGGAAGAAGAUAGGUCUCUCUGAUGAUUCAUGGAAGAAUAAAAGUUUUGAAGAGAAAGCUGUGGACAUCCUGCGGAGAUUAGGAGAGAAGAGAUUUGUAUUGUUGUUAGAUGAUUUAUGGGAGCGGGUUGAUUUAACAGAAGUGGGCGUUCCACUUCCCAGCGCACAAAAUACUACCUCAAAAGUCGUAUUCACAACCCGUUCCAUUGGUGUUUGUGGCAGCAUGAGAGCUAGGCCGGUUAAAGUGGCAUGCCUAUCAGAAAAGCAAGCUUGGGAAUUGUUCCGCGAAAAUGUUGGGGAAGAAACUCUUGAGAGUGAUCAUGAGAUCGUUGAGCUAGCCCAAACUGUGGCCAAAGAGUGUGGUGGUUUGCCACUCGCACUUAUUACUAUUGGUCGAGCUAUGGCCUACAGAAAGAAAGCGGAGCAGUGGAGACGUGCAAUUGAAGAGUUAAGAAGAUCAGCUUCAGAGUUUGCAGGUUUGGGAAAAGAGGUGUAUCCUCUUUUAAAGUUUAGCUAUGAUAGUUUGCAGAAUGAUACAAUUAGAUCUUGUUUCUUGUAUUGUUGUUUAUAUCCUGAAGAUUAUGGCAUUCUUAAAUGGGACUUGAUUGAUUGUUGGAUUGGCGAGGGAUUUUUUGGGGAAUCUGACAGGUCUGGUGCAGAAAACCAAGGCUAUGACAUUUUGGACACUCUUGUUCGUGCACGUUUAUUAGAAGAGGUGGAAGAUGAUAAAGUAAAAAUGCAUGACGUUAUUCGUGAUAUGGCUCUAUGGAUAGCUUGUGAAAUUGAGAAGGAGAAGAGAAACUUUUUGGUUUGUGCAGGUGCUGGAUUAAAAGAGGCACCGGAUGUUAAAGGAUGGGAAAAUGUGAGAAGAUUGUCAUUGAUGCAAAACCAAAUUAAAACUCUGUCAGAGGUUCCCACAUGCCCUCAUCUCCAUACUUUAUUUCUUGCCUCUAAUAUGGAGUUGGAGAUGAUCGCGGAUGGCUUCUUCCAAUUUAUGCCUUCUCUCAAAGUUUUGAAGAUGUCACGCUGCUGGAAUUUUCAAUUACCUGUUGGGAUGUCAGAUUUGGGUUCGUCACUAGAACUUCUUGAUAUUUCACGUACCAAAAUAAGAGAGUUACCAGAAGAGUUAAAGUUGUUGGUAAAUCUGAAAUGUUUGAAUUUGGGGUGGACAAGGGAGUUAAAUAAAAUUCCACGGCAACUAAUAUCAAAUUCUUCAAGGUUACGUGUGUUGAGAAUGUUCGCUACUGGCUAUGGGGGUCUUCAUGGAGCAUCAGAAGAUAGCGUUUUUUUUGGCGGGGGUGAAGUUUUGAUACAGGAAUUGCUCGGUUUGAAAUAUUUAGAGGUAUUGGAGUUGACCUUGGGAAGUUAUCAUGCUCUCCAAAUUGUUUUGAGCUCAAAUAAGUUGAAAAGUUGUAUUCGAUCUCUUUUCCUCCAGUUGUUCAGAGAUACAACGUCGAUUAUUGAUGCUACGGCUUUCGCAGAUCUAAACCACCUCAAUGAAUUACAUAUUUAUAUAGGUAUUGAGUUGGAAGAGUUGAAGAUUGAUUAUACAGAGAUAGUACGAAAAAGGCGGGAACCUUUUGUUUUCCGCAGCCUUCACCUUGUUACUAUACAUAGCUGCCCUAAAUUGAAAUAUGUGACAUUCCUCGUUUUUGCUCCAAACCUCAAGUCUCUUGAGCUAUGGAAUUGCCAUGCUAUGGAAGAAAUAAUCAGCGUCGGAAAAUUUGCUGAGACUCCUGAGAUGAUGGGACAUAUAAGCCCUUUUGAAAAUCUCCAAAGGCUUAAUUUAGAAGAUUUGCCAAAUUUGGAGAGCAUCUACUGGAAGCCAUUGCCUUUUACUCGUCUGAAAGAAAUGGCGGUACUUGGGUGCGAUCAGCUUGAAAAGCUUCCGGUCGAUUCCAAUAGUGCAAAAGAGCGUAAAUUUGUAAUUCGUGGAGAAGAAGACUGGUGGAACCGACUUCAAUGGGAGGAUGAAUCCACUCAAAUUGCUUUUCGUUCCUGUUUCCAACCUGAUUCCUGAGCGGUGGUCGCAAAAUUUGAUUUCUGGUGAGUGCGUUUGUCUUUUAAAAGAAGAAUUUAAAAGAAAUUAUUCUUGUCGUUUGUUUUCUUCUGUGUUUUUAUUUCAGUUUCUUUCUCUCUCUCUCUCUCUCUCUUUUUGGUCUUCUGCAAAUCACAAUUAAAUGUUGAAUUAAUGGAAUUAAUGCUUCAUAAAUUUGCCGGCACUGCCAUUACUGUUUUUUGGGGGGGUCGAAUUGAUGCUCUGGUUUUUUACUUUUUGUUGUCAAAUUUUGCCCUGUUCUAUCUUCUUAGCGAUUUAAUUUCCUGUCAAAAGACGAGCGAGAAGAACAUAUAUAUGACUUAAACCAAUUGAUACUUUAUUUAUGUGCAUUGUAUGUAAUAAAUAUUAAGUAUACUUUAUUUUGCCCUGUUCUCUGUUUUUAUUUCAGUCUCUCUCUCUCUCUCUUUCCUGUCUUCUGCAAGUCAUAAUUAAAUGGUGAAUUAUAUGGAAUUAAUGCUUUACAAAUCUGCCUGCACUGGCUUUUUUUUUUUUUUUUUUGUGGGGUCGAAUUGAUGCUCUGGUUUUUUUUUGUUGUCAAAAUUUUCUCUGUUUUUUCAAAUUGAUGCUUUAUUUAUAUCUUCUUCGUGAAAAGUGAUUUAAUUUCCUGCCAAAAGACGAACGAGAAGAACAUUAGAGUCAAACUAAUGCUCACAUAAAUUUCCCGUCAGAAUAUAUAAUUAGACUGGAAUAGUAGCACUCUUUACAGAAAAUGACGUGAAAGUUAAUUUAGAAAGAUAUAUUCUUGACGUGAAAGUUAAUAGUAUACAUGCCAUCACCAUUACCAAGAAUCAAGCAUGGAAUUGGAAGUCAUUCUAUAGAGUGCAGAACAUGACUCUAUGCGGUAGUCAAUUUGACACACGACGAACACCAUAUGCUGCAUAACAUACAAAUUAAUUUCCCAUAUGUGAUGCAAUUUGCUCCUCAACAUAUGCGCAAUUCUUUCCAUUCCGGCCGUUGAUUGAACCCUUUGGCAACAAGACGAGCUUUAAACUUGUCAACAGAACCGUUGGAAUGUCUUUUAAUACAAAAAUCCUUUUGCAGCCAACAAUAUUGGAAGGGAUGGGAGGUGGAACAAGCUUCCAUGUCCCGUUACGAACAAGAGCAUCAUACUCUUCUGACAUAGCUUGACGCCAGUGAGGAUUUUUGAUAGCUUGUGUCACAGUUGUAGGUUCACAAUCAGAAAAAGGGCUAAAAUGAGCACGGAGGUUAAGUUUUUGUAACGGCUUGUGAAUCUUAUUUUUAGCUCGGGUAGUCAUAUCAUGAUGAUUUGUGGGGCAAUGAUCUAGUGGAAGUUUGGGAAGAUGAUUGAACAGGAAGUGAAGAAGUGCUUUGUGUAGAGGUAGAAGUAGGUUGGGAGGAUUGCUGCGGCGAUGUUACCGGUAGAAAAGAAGGAGCAGUACACGGUGCAACUCCAGAGGGCCCACAGUAGAUGGAGUAGGUGCCGACGAUGGAGUACUAGGAAAUGAAACAGUAAGAAUUGGUGGAACACUUGCGUAAUUAGGAGUGGUUGAUGAGCUUGUAAUGAUUUGUAUGGAAAAACAAACUCUACAAAUUUAACGUGACGUGAAAAAAAAAUUUGAAAGGUGGAUGGGUCAAAACAUAAAUAAGCACUUUGAGAUAAAGGAAUAUCCUAGAAAAACACAAGGCUUAGAGGGUGGUUCGAGUUUAUGUGAUGAAACACAAACAUUCAAAAAUUUUUAAGUUUAUAUUAAUUAGGAGUGGUACCAAAAAUUAAUUAGCUAUGGGGUUGUUGGAUGUGUUUUGGAUAUUUACAGUUAAGUUUGAGUAUCUCAACUUAAAAUUUGUAGUUUUCACUUGAAAAAAUUCAGUUAAAUUUUGCAAUGCAGACUGAUUGAUUUAUCAGUUUAACGUGUGCCAGGAAUGAAGAACUGGAAUAUCACCGUCAAGCAAGCACCCUGUGGAGCAAUACCAAAGAAUGCACAAUCCGGCUUUGCUAGGUGACACUGGAGGCUUUUUGAAAAGUGCUUCACGCUCACUUGCACAGAUUGAGCAUCCCCUCUGGAUAUUGCCCUCUCUGAUCGAGUCUGAGCACUCAAAUUUCGGUCCUCAGAUGGAGCUACAGCUUUCUCUCCAAUAACCAACAAUUUUCUAAACUCAGCACCUAGUGUGAUCAGAGUUGUUGAUAUUUGUAAAUGGAGAUCCCCAUAUUUGUAAAUGGAGACAUUUAACAAAUCACCAACAUGCUUCAUCCGGUGUACAAAAUUCUGCAGCUGAUUCAAAUCCGGAACCUGAACCAGAGUCGGAGGUAUAUCUUGAGCCAUAUCUAAAGCAGUUUGAAGUUCAAGACCUUGAGCCCUUGACAAUGGUUUUGAAAUUGGAACAUCUUGGAUUACUGCAGACUUGUACCCCUUGGUUUCAAAGGUAAGGAAAGGCAUUGCUUGAGUACAAUUUGGAGGCAGCUUCUUCACCAAUUUUAUUUGGAGGCGAUUGGCAGCGGAUCCAGCUGCACCAAUUUCAGAGCAACUACUGACACUACUUCGAACAGCACACUGAAGAAGUGAUAUGUCUACAGCAAAGGCAAUGCAGUCCUCAUUUUGGCUUGAGAUGCGGUAAUCAUCGAAGAGAGUUUCCUUGUGAAACUGGGCAACACAUUGAAUCCCUUUGGCACUGAGAAGGUUGUGGAGGAAGUAAGCUUUCUCUCUAGUAAGGAAGAGGUGGCAUACAUUCCCCAUUUUGUCUAGGGCAGGUAGGAAUCUUUUUUCUAAGAGAUUUACUUCAUUCUCUGUGAGAAAUGCUUUGAACUUCAUCCCUCUGUCUCUAUCCUCACUUAUCAGUAAAAUAGUUGAAAGCGCUACAAGGAGAGAAAAGAAGAGUAUUAAGAUAUAUAUAGACAAGAAAAACAUUAGAUGUCGAUCUUACAAGCUAAUACUUCAAACAGUAUCCUAGAAAGCUAAAAACUGCAAAAUGGCUUGAAAUUUGAAAAGAACACAUGCUUUUCCUCCAUAACUUGAGAAAAUGUUUAAUAUAGUGCACCUUACAGAAACAUUUAAGCAAUUAGAACUUUGCACAAAAACAUUCAAGAAGACUAAACAAAUCAGAUGCAGUGUAUUUCUCCAAGCACAAAUGGCAUUGCAUUUCUUCCUCAACUGUAAUAUUUAUUGAUGAAAAUCAGUACAGGUCCCUCAUUUGUUAUGGAAAGCUUUCUUGUAGUCUGACCGGUUAAUUCACGGGUCUAUAAUCAUCUUGCAAAGUUACAGGCAUUUCUUUCGAUUUAAAGUCUUUGCAUCACCACCUCAUCACACACCAAGCCAAUAUUCCGUCUACCUCUACAACAAAAAGUUUUAAGUAAACGAUCCUAAUGCAUGCAGCCAAAUAAAAUGCAGUAAGAAUAUUCAACUUAAAACUCUGAAAGCCAUCUUGGUGAAUUGCCUCCUUAGGGGAAGUUCCAUGAUUUACUAUAGUUGACAGAACUCAGCAAAAGCUUCCAUACAACAGAUUUUGAAAAUGAUGAUGCCAAUAGAUACUCAUUCAAUCCAUUGAAAAUCCAAAGGUUCAUUGUUAGAUCACGAGCAAGAAACAAAAUGGAGACACGCAAUAUGAAUAUGGAGAAAAUUUGAACUCAAAUGAAAUGAGGGCACGAAAGCAAACACAUGGCAUGCGCAAACAAACCAAGCCUCAAUCAAAAACUAAUUAACCAUUAAGAAAAAAAAACUGGUCAGAGAAUGAACUCCAAAUUCGGGAGUGAAGCAAGAAGCUUUCAUUAUUUCAGAAGCUCCUGUACAAAUUAAUAAGUUAUGCUCUUUGGAAACAAACCUAAAUUCCAAGAGAAACAGAACUCAAAAAAUUUGCAAUUAUACGCAAAGGAAGUGAAGCACAGCAUUCUAUCACACGUACGAAUUGUACAACAAGAGAUCGACACAUCGAAUCAGAAGAACUCAAUUCAAAUUUGUCUCAAAAAUCAAAAUUAGAAGAUUUCACAUUUCGAGAGGAACAAGCGACAGGUCAGAUGCAAAAUUUUCAGCCACAACAUGGCACAAUUAACGGUUUAUUUCCAUGGAUUUAGAGAGAUCGCGCGCCAAAAUGGAAGAGGGAAAGCGAAAGUGCGGGUUUUAAUAGGGUAUUGGAUUAGCAAAUUUUAUUAGUUUGCGAGGGUAAAAUAGGAAAGAUAUAUCACUAUUAAGCUUUUUUUUUAAUAAAAAAAAGAAUAAUAAAGAAUAUUUUAUUGUCAUUUGCAGCAUUUAAUUUUUUUUUUAAAUGCUAUUAGAAAAAUACGACAAUAAAGAAAUGCUCUUUUUUUUUUUUUUUUUUCUGGAAGGUAAAAUCAAUUAUUUAGCUCCUUAUAUGUAAUCAAACUCCAUUUCUUACUUUAAGUCAUAUCCAACGGACCAACAAAGUAAUUUUUUUUUUUUCAUUCAUUUUUGCAGAAAAUUAAUAACUUAAAAAUAUUGAAAGCUAUUCUAAAAUUUUUUAUUAUCAACCUCAUAGUUUAAUUUUUUUGGGGAAGAAUUGAAUUUUUUUUUUUAAUUUCCAAGAAUUUCAUUCUCUAGUUUUUCCAUUAAUAUUAUUUAUCUUGAUACCCAUCUUAAUUAAAAUCUGUAGUUUUAUUCAAGAGUCAUGCUAUUCAUUCACUCACAGGCAAAAGGCUUUCCGCAGCAAUAUUAUUAUUUAAAUUACAACAAAGGGGAAAUCAAAUACGUCAUACAGAAGCAUAAAGCUGAAUCUACAAAAUCUAGAGCUCUCAACUACAUAAAUUACACUUGAUGACCCUCUACAAGAUGAAGCUUGUUCAAUAUCUCAUCCAAAGCUUGUAAAGUAACCCUGUAACGAUCUUGAGAUUGCCUGCCUUCCUCGACGACCUGCACGAUGCGUUUGUACAAAUCAUCAUACCUGUGCACCGGAUUUUUAAUAUCAAUGGCACUGCAGCUGUGAUCAAGAACAUAAGAGCGUUUAACGUCUUUUCUCCAUCGAGAAAGAAUGUACUGAGAUGGGAUCUCCUCCAUGCCACUCUGGUUUAAAACACAAAGAAUGUGUCUGCAUAAAUAUCCUCUGAAAUUGAACAACCCACAAACACAAAGCACCUCCAAGUCAGAGGCAUUGUACAAAACAUCGAAAGCCCUUGAAUCUUUCUCGUUGCUACCAACCUCAAAUUCUUCUUUCACUAUGUAUGUUAUAGGUCCAUCAGCACUGACAUGUUUUGUGCUAUAGCAAGAGUACAUAGCCUCCACCUCCGUCUGAAACUUCCUUAACAUUUCAUUUGUGUACAGUUGUGAGAGUUGAAAUUCAUAGUAACAUCUUGGUUUCUGGAUACAACUUGAAUUUCUUGGAUCCAUAUCUGCCAAGGCUUCCAGUUGAUAAUUCGCCUGCAGUGCUUGAUCAUACUUGUCUAAGAAUUCUUUCAAAGGAGUAUUCUUAUGAAGAUAUCCUUCAAAGUAUGAAGUAGAAACCUCAUUCUGCAGGAACGAAAACACUCCUGAUAAAAAAGCUUCCUUCAAAUAAAUAGGAGCCCACCUUUUACGAUCUUCAUAUAACGUUUGAAUCCAUCCGUGAUCCUUUAUUCCAUGACGUUGAAUCAUGUCUUCCCAAGCUGCUUCAAAUUUCUCAGGCCAGAGAGAGUGAUAAAUUGCUCUAUGUAAUGCAGCUUUAAUAGCUUCAUAUUCAAACAAUCCUUGGAGUUUCUCUGGAAUUUUUUGCAUGAUGCAUGACAAUGAAAAGCAAUGAUAAGCUCUUGGGAAAACAUCGCCAGCAGCAAUUUGCAAGAUUCUACAUUGGUCAGUGAUGAUUGUUUGUGGAGAGCGCCCUAACAUACAUGUAAGCCACGCCCUAAACAACCAUGUCUAUGAUUCUAUGGUCUCACUGGCAAGUAAACCACAACCCAACAACACUGAUUGUCCAUGAUGAUUCACCCCAAUGAAUGAAACCAGUGGUACAUCAUAUCUUUCAGUCAAGCACGUAGUAUCAAUUAAGACUACAUCACCAAAGUACCUAUAUGCAACUCUUGACCUGAUAUCAGUCCAGAACAGGUUUCUCAAGCAUCCCUUUUCAUUUAGUCCACUACAUUAAAAAAGUUUGGAUCUGUCAACUGCAAACGACAAAAGAAACUCUGGAUAGCUUGUGCAUCUCCUGGUUUAAGCUUCAAUUGAUUUGAGCUAUUAACAUUAUUUCCAAAUACUCCAUUAACAUCUACAUUACCAUUUCCCUCGGUAUCAAUGAUAAGAGUUCGAAACAGUUUAAUUUUUUGAACUUCUUCAGCACUAUCUAAAUGCAAUGUUCUUUUGGUUCCAAUACCUAUGUGCUUAUGUGACUUGUAAAACUUUCCACUUCUUGGGCUUAACAAGUGGUUAUGCUCAAGCUCGACUUCAAUGAUUCUCCACCUUUUGGUUUCCAUCAACCUAAACUUUAUCAUUGCUGGACAGCCAGUUCUUGUUUCUGGUCUUGGGCGGUUUGCCUCGCUUUUCUUCUUGAAGCCUGCACUACUACAGCUCAGCUUUCCUCUAUACUUUACUCUUUUGGUACCAUGUAUUGCUAACUCUAACACCAAAACCAUGUUCCUUGGCAUAGCAAUUGUAAAAGUAAAAUACAUCAUCAUACAUCUCAAACUCCAUUCCAACAGCAGGAGGCAAGGGAUUUUGGAUUAUCCCAGUUUGUCCAACAUAUUCAGUCAUCGCACAAUCUCCUACGACCUCAAAAUCAUCAGUGUCAUCAUCACCUACUGGUUCGGUGUUGAGAGAAACUUCAUCCAUCUACAAUGGAUGUUCAAUGAAGUGAGCUUUAAGGAGAAAAAGCAAAAUCAGUUCAAGGAAUGAUAAUAUAAUCAUAUAGUUACUUUCACAAAGCUUCAUAUUUCAUCACUGCUUUACCAACAUGCAACUGCCAGAGAACAAACAGACAUGUCAUAGACGCUUGAAUUAAGUAUUUGUACAAAUGAGCACACAUCAUGUGGGACAAAAUUUCAGUCACUAAACCCAAUACCACUUUUUACAUCAUACCAAGGAACAGAUUAAACCCGACACCUUCUUUUAAACCAUACCAAGGAACAGAUUAAAUCAUCAAUGAAAAAUUAAUCACAUAAUAACUUAACCAGACAAAUGAAGAGCCUGAAACAGCACAAAACUUGAAUAUGAUUAUGAUAAUUGUUGAGUCCUUGUAUCUACAGCUUUCCUUCAAUGAUAAGACAAUGAACAUAAACGAGAUGCAAAAAAUUUAUUUUAAGCUGACAGCCCAUGAUAUAAAUCAAACAAAAUCAACUCCUUUUUUUACACAUCACAUCUCAUAUUCAUUUACAUUGAAACACAAAAAGGAAGCAGGAGUGGGAAAAAAACAACAGCAGAGGAACUUAUUUCCAUAAGGUUUACGAAAUAAGGAAUCUAUUAAAACCCAAAACUUGAGGUCACCACUAAGAAUUUCGUUCUCAUUAUUUUUUUCUUCAUUUUUCACCAAUGAUGAACUUAAAAUACAAUCAUAAAUGAUAAAACCCCAUCUCCAUCUUUUUGAACUAGAGCUAAAGCAAAGCAUUUUAAGAUGUUUCAUCAUUUUUUUUAAAAAAAAAAACCUCAAUAGUACAAUGUUUUUCAAUGUUAAAUGCACAAUUCAAUCUUCUCCUAAUUUACUCUAAUAAUCUCUUAAUUAAGGAAGAUUAAGCUUCAGUUGUAAGCUAAAACAAAUUUCUUAAAUCAAGCCCCAAUGCUUUAUGCUAUUCAACAAGGGCUCAUAAAUGAUAAAACUACUUCUACAAAGAUACCCAUUUUCUAAAUUAAUUUCACAAACUGAAAUCAAACUCCUGAAACGUAACGAGCAUUAAUAUAAUCAAACCCGAACAAGAAUUGAAAAACGACACAUAAACUCGUUUACACAUUUUGACAGACACUUUGCAAUCAAUGAGCAAAAAAUUAAUGGAGAAGAUAAAAUUCAAACGAAACAUGCCUUACAUUGAUAAAUUAGAAGGGCAAAAGAAAUUUUAGUAAGAUAUGGGAUCAGGGUCUUGCCACGGUGAUGUUAUUUGUGAUGUUCGAGCGACUCAGCAGCCUUCGAGGUUGAAAAUUUGAUUGACCAAAAGCUUCCCGUUCGUUGAUUCUCUAAUAGCAGAAACGAGACUGGCAGUAUACACAACAAGUUCGCUGAUUUUAAAUUCCGUUGUUUGAGAUGGAAAUUUUUUUUGAAAAAAUUAAUGUGUUCGAUGAAUAUCAAAAUCUAAAAAACUUUUUGUUUUUCAUUUUUUUGGAAAAAGCCAUUGAGAUCCUUACUAUUUUUUCUUAUAUCAUCUUGCUUAAUAAUUUGCAAAGUCUAUCGCAUAGCACCCAUGCAUGAUGUAUGCUGCGUUGUAAUUUACAAAAUUGCACAUGAAUAAAUCCAGCUAAAAUUUGUUAAAAGAAAAUAAUAAUAACAUGUUAAAACUUAAAAAUUUGAUUAUUCGAAGAAAUUUUAAUUUAGUUAAGUAGGUGACAUGAUAAUAAAUAGAUACGUAUAAUGUCCGAGAUUUUUAUAAGAUUAAUAAAUAUGAUAAAAUUAAACAUGCAAAUAUACACACUAAUUUAGAUGUGUGAAUAACAAAUAUGGAACGACACAUGCAAAGUCAUCUGUAUAAUUGAAACGCCAUGCACUAGUAGUAGGUAAGAGAAACCAAGGUUGAAGUUGCUCCAAUGGUUACUGUUCAUUUAUUUUUAUUUAUGAUUUUUAUGUAAAAUGUAAGAAAUAUGUAGAAAUGUUGCCAGCAAUGAUUUUGGAACUUUGCAUAAAAUUUUUAUCAUUAUUGUUUUUGGUAUUAAGAAAUCCGAGGCGGUGAUUAGACGUAUGUUGCAACAAUUAAGAAAUUUCUUAUUGGAGAUAAUUUGGUAGGUUGCAGCAAUUAGAGAAUAAUUUUCCUGCCGGUUAAUCAAUCAAUAAUAAAUUUCAAAUUGCAGAAAAUAAAAUAAUACUGUCGCACUUAGAAUCAUAUUUUCUAUCUCUUUCAAUUGUGGCAAUCAUUUGUAACAAAUAAAUCAAUUUGAUGCACAUCAUUUCCCCAAUUCAAAGUUCAAGUCACUGCUCAAUUGCAGAGUAGUUAGUAGACAUGCAUGCAUGUUUAAUUAAGUACUGCAUUGUAGUAUCGAAAAUCAUAACAUCUCACCAAGCCCAGAAACUAUGGGAAACAUGAUCUCACUCUCAGUGUCACUUGAUUCCAUUUUCUGUUCUUGCCUUGAUUUCGAUGUUGGGAAUGUGACGUCUGAGUCUAAGGUUGAAGAUAAUCUCGAUGCCUUGCGGACUGCAAUGGAAAAAUAAGCGGAAACGAGAAAUGAUGUGAUAAUAUUUACAAAAGAAUGGAUCGAGUGCAGGGCUGGCUUUCAAGGGUAAAAGCUGUGGAAAAUAAAGCUGAUGAUUUGAUGAGACACAGCUCUCAAGAGAUUGAGAAGUUAUGCCUUGGAGGCUUCUGUUCCAAGAACUGCAAAUGAAGCCACAGCCGUGGGAUAGAAGCUGCUACAAUGCUACGAGUUGUGGAGACUUUAAUGGGUGAAGGAUCAUUUGAAUUGGUGGCUGAGAGGGUGCCAGAAGAUGCAGCAGAGGAGAUAAAUUGUGAGUCAACAAUAAUGGGCAUGGUGUCGACUUUUGAGAAAGCCUGGAGAUGCCUUGAAGAAGAAUAAGUUGGAAUUAUUGGCCUAUAUGUCAAUGGGAGAGUUGGAAAUAUUUACUCAAAUCAACAAGAAGUUCCUUGAUAGUCCAAAUAAUUUUGAUGUUGCAAUCUGGGUAGUGGUCUGCCAAGAUUUGCAACCCCAGAAGUUUCGGGAAAAGAUUGGGAAAAAGAAAGGCUUGUUCGAUGAGUCAUGGAAGAACUGAAGUUUUGAAGAGAAAGCACUCGAUAUAUUCAAGAAUUUAAGCAAGAUGAAGUUUGUAUUACUGCUGGAUGAUAUAUGGGAGCAGGUUGAUUUAAUUAAAAUUGGUGUCCCUCUUCCAAGCACAAAAAUUACAUUCAAGAUAGUCUUCACAGCUCCUUCUAUUACAUUUGUGGCCUCAUGGAAGCUCACGACAAGAUUAAAGUGGAGUGUUUAAAUGACGAAGAAGCAUGGGAAUUAUUCUGCAAGAAGGUUGGAGAAGAUGUGGCGACUCUGUCCAAGUGCUAAGGAGCUCAGCCUCAGAAUUUCUAGGUACGGAAAAAUAAGUAUAUCCUCUUUUGAAAUUCAGUUAUGAUAAUUUACCUAGUGAUAAAAUUAGAUCGAGUCUGUUAUACUGUAGUUUGUUUCCAGAAGACUUUCCAAUUAGCAAAAUGGAAUUGAUACUGAGAUAUGAAAUCAAGGAUACUACAUUAUUGGUGUUCUUGUUCCUUUAUGUUUAUUGGAAGAAGAGGCUCCACUAUAUGUAAAAGUGCAUGAUGUGAUACGCGAUAUGCUUCUGUGGAUCGCAUGUGAAUUUUUUUUUUUUUUUUUGAUAGGGAUAGUAUGUGAAGUUGAGAAGGAGAAAGAGAAUUUUUUGGUUCGUGCAGGUGCAAGGAUUAACUGAAGUACCAGACAUUUGGAAAUGGGAAGGGUUGAGAAGGGUGUCUUUGAUGAGCAACAAAACUGAGAAGUUAUCAGAAAUUCCUUCAGAUCCCCAUCUACUGACUUUGUUGCUUCAACGUAAUUAUUUAGAGAUGAUCAAUAAUGACUUCUUCCAAUCUAUGCAUUCCCUUAGAGUUUUGAACUUAUCAUGUAAUCGUUCUCUAACUGAUAAUUUCAAAGUUAGUUUCCCUACAACAUCUUAAUUUAUCAAUGACUAACAUACGAGAGUUGCCGAUUGAGUUAAAGUUUGUAGUGAAUCUUAAGUUUUUGAAUGUGGAGUAUGCACGGUUUCUUCAUUCAAUUCCAGGGCAAGUGAUAUCCAGUUUUACGAUGUUACAAGUUUUGAAGAUGUUUGGUUGUGGCAGGUCAUCUUCUGAUCGUGAGCCACACCAGAAGAUAGCGUUUUAUUUGGAGGCAGUAAACUUUUGAUUGCGGAGUUGUUUGGUUUGAGAGACAUUUAGAUUUGUUGACCAUCAUCCUAAGAAGCUCCCAUGCUCUGAAAGAUUUUUGAGCUCCAACAAACUUCAAAGUUGUACUCAAUCUCUCUAUCCUAAAUGCUUUGAUUCGAAGUCAGUUGAUGUUUUUGGCCUGGCUGAUCUGAAGCAUCUCAAUAGGCUAUAGAUAUUGCGAGUUGUAAGCUUUUGGAAGAAGUGAAGAUUGACUUUGUUGGGAAAGCACAAUGAACCCAUGGUUUUCACAGCCUUAUGUCACAGAAGUUGUGUAAAUACUGCACGGGUUGCUGCCAUCCCAUGACAUUGAGCCAUGUUGAAAUAUCAUUUUGCUGUAAACUGAGGGAUCUGACAUAGCUUGCUUUUGCUCCAGGCCUUCUUGUUGUUUCCAGAAAACAUUGCCAUGAUAUAGAAGAAAUACUCGGUGUUGGAAAAUUAGGUAAAGAGAUGAUGUCAAACCUGGAACCUCCUACAAAACUCCAAGGUUACGUUUGUCAUGUGGGAUUGGAUUGAACUAAAUUAUUAAGAUUGAAUUAAAUUGAAUUAUAUUUAUAUUCUUAUGUUUAGUACCGGAUUGAACUAUAUUAGAUUAUAUUUAAAUAAUAUUAAAUAGUAUUUAAGUUGGUAUUUUAAUAUAAAUAUCAAUUAUCCAUGAAAUUUUAUAAUCAUAAUUAAAAUAAAUUUAAAAAGUAAUUACUAGGAAAAUUAAAUAUAUUGCAAAAAGUUAUUGGGUAGUCAUAAUAUAAUAAGCAAAUAAAAUUAAAUAAAACAAAUUAAAUAUUUAAUUAAUUUUUAUCAAAUAUUUAAAAAUAUUAUAUAAAAUCAAUUAAUUAAUGGUUUUAUUAAUUUUCAUGAUUAUUUUUAAUAUUACAUUAGUGAUUAUUAAAUUUAAUACAAUCAAAUAAUGCAAUAAAUAAUUAAACGUUUAAUUUUAUCGAUUAAUUAUUAAAUAUACAAGUAAUAAAAAUUUAAUCUCAGGAGUUGGUAGAAGCAAAAGUACUAAUUUAAUUACAUCAUAGAUAAUAAAUAAAAAUAAAUUCUAAGUAAAUCAUAAUAAAAAAAUUAAUUAAUUGAUUCAAUCAAUCAAUAUUAGGUGUAAAUAAAAAAAGAGUAAUGAUAUAGCCACAAACUCUUGCACAAACUUAUUUUGUACAAACUCAUGUGUCAUGAUAAGAUUAAUUAAAUUAAAUAUCACUUGACCUACAUGAUUUAUUUUUAUUAUUUUAUAUUUUCAUUCAACCAAUGAAUUAACGCCACGUCAGUUUGUAUAAGAUAGGUUUGUACAAGAGUUUGUGGCUGUAUCGUCGCUUAUAAAAAAAAAUAUAAAUAAAAAUAUCAUAAAUAGACAACUUUUAUCUUUAAUCUUAUUCCAACUAAACACAUGUGUAAAUUAGAAUUAUUAAUCCCAUGAUUUUAAGAUUAAAUUCAAAUUUAUUCCCCCUUAAUCCAAUCCAACUAAACUUGUCAAACAUGGGAUAAAAAUUUAAUUCUAAAAUUAGUACAAUUCCAUAUUUAAUCCUAACAUCCAAAUAUAGCCCAAGUUGUUUGCUUAAAGAAGCUACCAAAUUUGAAGAGCGUUUACGGGAAGGCCUUGCGUUUCCCAGAUGUAUGCAGAAUUUUUGUAUCUAAAUGCCCAGAACUUAAGAAGCUGACGCUGGAUUUGAAAGGGCGGGCCAAGGUAAAAUUCUUAUCAAGUGAAAGGAAAAUCGGUGGGAACAACUUCAAUGGGAGGAUCAAGCAACUCAGGAUGCAUUGCUUCUGUUUUUCAAAUCAACUGACAAGUGAUUGAAGGGGCCAUCAUCAGCCUGGAUGGGGAGAUCCUGGAGCAGAUCAGCAGGGUUUGAAUCUGCAUCAUCAACAUCAUCAGGAUCUCUAUUUCUAUUGCUGGUCGUAAUGCCUGCCUACUGUUGCUUGAAAAAGUGAUUAAGUGAGCCAGUUUUUUGUUUAUUAAAUUUUGUCUUGUGGAGACAGUCACAAAGUAUUUUUCAAUUAUGAUAUUCUGUGGGAAAUUGCAAGUAUUUUCAAAUAUGAUCGUUACUAAAGGAAACAAAGGAAUCAACACAGCAUACUGAACCUCAGCAGUAUGAAGCUAAUGAUUAAACUCCUCACACAAUUCAUGACAUGCAAAACCAUUCACAAAAUCAUCCACAGCAACCAUAAUUGGCGUUUACAAGAAUUACUUUUCUGUUCAUGCAAUCGGCGUCUGAACGCGGCUGAUCGGUCACCAGUGUUGGCGUUUACUGUGAUUAGACAAAUUGUAGGACUUCAAAAAUAACUUCUAUAGAGGUAAUUUCGAUUUCACAUAAUUAAUUUUAGGGAAAUUUACACUCGUCCACCUGUUUGUUUUGCCUUUUUCAAAAAUACACAAACACUUUUUUUUUUUUGCAGCGCGUCACCUGAAGUUUAUUUUUUGUUGCAUUCAUUCACUUCCGUCUAAUUUCCGUUAGUGGAUUUAACGGAAUGUUAACGAAAUGACCUUUUUACCCCUCAAAAUUAUAAUUUAACCCAAAAUAAAUGGAAAUUAGAGAUAAAUUAGGUGGAUUUAAUUUUUUUUAAAGGUGGAUACUAGAAAUUGGAGGAAAAUAGUGUUUGUUGCUUGCUAAAUUUAGAAAAUUUGUAUUUAUUUUUUUGAAAGACAAAAAAAUAAAUACACAAAAAAAAUAAAUACACAAAAAAUAAAUACAAAUUUUCUAAAUUUAGCAAGCAAUAAACACUAUUUUUCUCUAAAAAAAUAAAUAUAAAUUUUUUAAAUUUAGCGGGCAACAAAUAUUAUUUUCCUCCAAUUUCUAGCAUCCACCUUUGAAAAAAAUUAAAUCCAUCCAAUUUAUUUCUAAUUUCUAUUUAUUUUGGGUUAAAUUGUAAUUUUGAAGGGUAAAAAGGUCAUUCCGUUAAAUUCACUAAUGAAAAUUAAACGGAAGUGGACGAAUGCAACAAAAAGUAAACUUCAGGUGGCGCACUGAAAAAAAAAAGUGUUUGUGUAUUUUUAAAAAAGACAAAACAAACGGUGGACGGUUAUAAAUUUCCCUUAAUUUUAUUUACAAUAUUUUAUGCCUGCUAGGUCAAUUGAGAUUCUUUCCACCGGGCACACUCUUCAUGUUCUUUUAUUUUCUGUCUUUUAUUAGACGUUGGAUUUUACUACUCUUUUAUCCAACGGCUUGCCACAACAAGACAAAUGAGGUGGUACAUUCAUUUUAUGUCCUUUCAUGUUUUUGAAUUACUGAAGACAAGUGGCUCGUCGCUUUUACUGUAGGUAAGAUCCAAAUUAUCUCGAUUAUCAAAAUAAUUAUUUUAAAAUACCUUAAUUGUUUUUAUUUUUAUGUUGCCGGAAUCAGAAUGAGCUGAAAUCAGAAUGAGUAAGAAUAAAAAUUGACUGAAAUGUAAAUAAUGAAUGAGAAUUAAAAUAAAUUGUUUACUUAAACUAUAAGAAUCCAAAUCAAAAUGAUUGCCAUUAAUGUGUUUCCUUUGUCUUGAAAUCGGAAUCAUAAUGAAUUAAAUUGUAACAAAUUAUUAAAAAGUACUUAAUAAAUUAUUAUCAUAAUUAUUAUUAAUUAAUUGUAAAAUUUUUUAAUUAAUUAUAAUAAUUAUAAUGAUAUUCGGCCACCACGAGACCAUAACGAAGCCAGAAACACAUGCUUCUUCUGCCGUUUCGAAGUUUUAAAUUUAAAAAUUAAAAACACAAUUUUCCAUUGAAAAAUAUCAAAAUUAAAUCUAAAGAAUUUGAAAAAUCCAAAAUCCUUACCCGUCCCUCUCACUGUCCCUCUUAUUCGCUUAUUCUCUCUCUCUCUCUCUCACUCACCCGAUCUAGGGAUGGGCACGGUUCGGUUCGGUUCGAAAUUAAGUAGAACCGAUUUAAAUCGGUUAUUUUAUAAAAAGAACCGAACUCAAUAAGAACCGAACUCAAACGGUUCUUUUCGGAUCGGUUCGAUUUGGUUCGGUUUUUUCGGUUUUGGGCCUAUUUUGAAUUUUUAAAAUUUUAGUCCAUUGGGCCUCAUGAAUGUAAUAAUUUUUUUCAAUAAUUAAUUUAUCCUAAUUUUAUUACAAAUAUUAACAAUAAAUACAAAGUAUUCAAAACACAGUUUAUCACUAAUAUCUUACUAACUAUUAAUAAGAUACUCCCAAAUAUAUGAAAUAUUAAAAUUUCAAAAUACAUAACCAAACUCCAAUACUCCAUCUAUAUAAACAUAAUCAUAAUGUUAUAAAGAGAAAUAACACAUGUUUGAUUUGAAUAAAAUCAAAAAAUAAUUUGGUUUUUCGGUUCGGUUUUUCGGUUCAGCUAAGUGAAUCGAAUACCGAACCGACAUUUCGGUUUUUUUUACAAACGGUAUAUUCGGUUUUUUUUAAAAAUAAAAAUCGAACCGAAUUAGAAAAAACCGUCGGUUCGGUUCGGUUUUUUUAAGACUACGGUUUUUUUGCCCACCCCUAACCCGAUCUGCCUCUUUUACUCACCCACUAGCAGGCUGUCACUCACCCACAAAACUUGUCACGCCACGGCCAUUGUUGACCAGCCAUCAUCGCUGUCACGCCACGCCCAUUGCCGACCAGCCCAUCACUGAUCACAUCGCCGUUGACGGUGUGCUUGACGAUUUUGGACCUUUUUCACCUACGUAGGUAAUUAAAUUUAGCAUGUUGAGGAAAGUUUUGAUUUAUUGUAUUUAUAUUUUAAAAUUAUUAGAAAUAAGUUAUUGGAAAUGUAGAUUUUGUUUGAAUUAUAUAUGAUUAAUACAAUUUAUUUUUCAUGGUAUAAAAAUGAAGGAUUUGGAAAAAAAACUACAAAGUCGAAGAUUUUGAAGAAUUAGAUUAACAACAAUUUAAAUGGAAAUAAUGAAAAAACUGAUAAUGAUGUGGAUGUGAAACCAAAAAAGUAUGAGCCAAAGUUUGGGAUGUUGUUUGAUAAACACCAUUAUCUUCUUAUGAGCCAAAAAAGGAAGAAUUAGAUGACAACAAUUAAGGUAAGAUUAAACUACUUACUUAAUUAUUCUACAAUUAAUUUAAUUUUAAUUUUAAUGUAUCUUUUUAUGGAUUUGCAGGAUUCAAAUGUACAAACACCAUUAUCUUCUGAGGUGGAUAUUGUAGUCCCAACGCAUGAGAGCAAUAAGGAUCCUGUAAGUUUUAUGUUCUUUGAUGUAAUACUAUUUAAUUAUUUUAAUUUUUAAUGGUCACUAAAUAAUGGUCAUUAUUUAAGAACCUGUGAUCGCAUACCAAUUACAAGGAUGUGAUAUUUAUCCAUGGUUUCCUUUUGAUUCUUACAUUGUAAGUUAUAAUCCAAUUUCUAUAUUUAUGCCUAGUUAAUUUUGCAUUUUCUGGAAUGUAAUAUGGUUCUUAUUUUGUACAAACUAGCAAUCCCCAUCACUCCCAUCUAUGUUGCCUUAUUCUUCAUCUUGGAUAUCGUAUAAAGGUUCUCAACAAAGGAGUUUUCAGUAAUCGCUACUUCAACAGAAUGAUAAUAACAAAGAAGUUUGAAGCAGACUUAACAGAUUGAUCAUUGACUUAUUCUUUUGUUGUGUUUUGUGUAUUAGUUGGUUGGAUGAUAUUACUCUAGUGCUCAAUGAUUGAACGUGGAAAUAUUUUGAAGGGUUUUUAUCCAUAUAUUCAAAGGGUUAAGUGUGUCAAUAACCAUUACAACAAUAAGAGUAGUUCAUAUAGAAAUGUCAAAUUAACCACACACAAAAGAAAAAGGUACAAAUAACUUAUUUCUAGUAAUUUUAAAAUAUAAAUACAAAAAAAAACCAAAUACUUUUCUAAUCAAAGUAUCACAUACAAGGUUUCGUAAAGGCCGUGUCAAAAGAAUUUCUUUAACUGAUUAAAUAUACUAAUUUUAGGUGACAAUAAUCUAAUAAUUUUAAACUAAAUUAACUUAAUUUCGCGAAAAAAAAUUCAAAAAACGCAUAGAAUUACGGAUCAAGUCUAAUUAACAAUCAAACGUAGUAACUCAGAUGCAUUUAUGCCAAAAAGAAUGUUCAUAAGACUACACAAAACCACCCAAAAAAAAUUAUAAAAUAAUAAAAGCAGCAGCUGCAAUAGAUUUUGCCUGAACAAGAAACACAACAAAACAAAGAGAAUAAAUCAAUCAAGGGCAUAAAUAGAUUGAACAAAAAAGGGCAAGAUCAGAGAAGAAACUGACCCACGACACUGGAUCCUCCUAAGCCUAGCGUCAUGGUUGCGGUUUUGAUGAUGCGUUAGCUGAGGUCUGACCAAAAUAUUGACAGUGACCUUGUGGGUGAGUGAGAGGUGAACGAGCUUCGUGGGUGAGAGUGAGAGCCGAGAGGGACAGAGCGGGUGAGAGAGAGAGAGGGUGAGUGAGGGGAGCGAUAAGAAUUUAGAUUUUUUUAGUUUGUUUUGAUUAGCUUUUAUUAUUUUUUAAUGGUAAAAUUUGUUUUUAAUUCUCAAAUCUAAAAUUUCAAAACGGCACAUACGCGUGUCGUUUCUGGCUUCCCUCUGUAACGAGGGCGGCCGAAUAUCAUUUUUUAAAUCAUUAUUUUAAAAUGGGUCUACAUUGCAACAGUAGUACGAUCCCAUUAUUAUUUUCAGUCAUUAAAUUUUAUUAAUAUAAUUAUAUAAUUAUAAAUUUAAUAAUUAAAAACAACAAUAAUAAUAUACUGUUGCAAUAUAAUUUUGACCUUUAAAAUGCCUUAAUUGUUUUUACUUUUAAUGUUACCGGCCUUUCUUAUAUUUUAUUAUAAAUUAAUACUAACAAGAAAAAGCUAGAUCAUUUUCCACAAAAAUAAAAGUGACAAAACAAUCAGCUAGAUUCUUUUAUUAAACUAUAAAUUAAAACGGAUUUUUUUUUAAUAAACUACAUAUGAAAGUGGAAUCUUUUGAAUAUAAGUGAGUAGGCUCUCUUUUUUUAAAAAAAAAAAACGGGGUAGGUUCUUUUAAUAAAGACAAGUCAUAAGUAUUAAGUAGUCACGACCAUUAGACUCUUUUAUUAGGACCUGUCUAUGGUACAGAUUCUGUAACAAACAUCUCCCGUCAUACCACCAUCCGAUCUUCUAUUGUUUAGUUUCUCACUUCACAUCCAACGGCUGAUGCUGCAGUCUGUAGCUUACAGAUUCUGUAAGCUAGUCAAGUCCCUUUUAUUAAAUUACAAAUUGUAGGAGGUUGCUACGUUACAGAAUCUGUAACAUACACAUUCAAUGGGAAGCAGCACACGUGUCCUGAAGAGAGAGAAAAAUCGGGCAAAUGCAGGCAAUGGCGGGUAAUGGGAGUUGGCUAAAAGUUGGAUAUGCAAAUUUACAAAAGAGUACUGCUAUUUACUCCGAAUGCUAACUCUGAAUUUACGCCCCGAGAGAUAAAACGACGUCGUUUUUUUUUUUUGCUUUGUAAUUUCAGCCAAAAAAGGUGGGCAGCACGUGGGUGAGCAUAUGCUUCAAUUAAUUUGGAACCAAAACGACGUCGUCUGUUCCUGCUUAAUCCUUCGUUUUGCUUUUCUUUCCAACCACAACGCUCGGCACCCAAAACUUCCACAAACUGCAAACUGCAAAACAUUUCCAUAUGCUAGCUCUUUAUGCAUGUGACCAAACACAACUUUCAUGUGUCUGUCUGCUUGUGUAUAUAGGAUGGAAACUUAUAUGGGUUUCUCCAAUCACCUGAAUGAUUGUAUUCUCAAAUGUUGCUUGUGGAUUCAUGGGAUUUGCUGUUCCAAAUGAUUAUGUUGAAGUCUUGACACUGAUUUGGGAAGGCUGUUGGUUUUAAUUUUGUUAACUAUUAGAGAUGUAGUACUUCUUGCAUGUCUAUUUCUUUUUCUUUUUUUGUCUUCCCUCUAAUUUAAUCAAUUUUAAAUGCACUAGAUGCCACAUGCUUUGUCUGCAUAUUUGUCUCUGGGCAUAGUCUGAAGAUGCUUUUGCCAACACAGAGCUGAUUUAGGGAAUGCCCAUGGAGCACUUGUAAGUGCCUGCUUUUCCAUAAAUCACAAAAUUUUAACAUGUCAAAACUUAAUGAUUCGUGAAAGUUGAAUGCUGAAUUUGAACGCCAACUUGUACAUGGGCUUUGGCAUACAGCAGCCAACAACGGUUCCUCAACGUAAGCACUUGUUUGAAACGCGUUUUUAUUUGCAGGCGCAAGAACUAUUGCUGCUGUUUGCAAAACAAAAAGUGAUUGCAAAACAAAAAGUAAAACGAAAGGAAAAGGUGUUUCGAUUGUAGUUCGUCAAAAUGAGUCCAAAAGAAAAGAAAAAAUGCGUCGAAACGGUGCGUUUCCUUUUAAUUUCAAAACGGCACGUUUCAUUCGGGGUGUUAGUCGAGGCGCAAGUCGGGACAAGCAGCUUCUUCCUUUAUAAAAUCUGUAACUUAAGUCAGCUCCCAAAUUGUAUAGUCUUUUUUCAAAUUGUACAGACAUUUAUAAAUUGGUGGCCCCUUGGAAAUUUAAUGCCAAGCAGACAAAAGUCAUCAUGCACAAUCCUCAAUAAUUAUUUCGCGUAUAUUUAUAAAUUGGUGGCCCCUACGUCCUCAAUAAUUGUUCAGAUACUUAUAAAUUGGCGGCCCUUGAUAAUUUAACAGCAGCUUGCAAGUGCCAACUAGUGAAAAGUCAUCAUUCACAAUCUUCCAAAUGAACCAAGGGACAUACAAAGAUUAAGACAUGUCAUUCUUUUUUCAUUCCCUUUCAUGUAACUUACAUCUAAAUACAUAAAUAAUAUAAAAUGAAUGGAGAGAUGCCGGAGCAUAUCAGCAGGGUUUGAAUAUGACCUUUGGCGCUUGUCUUUUUUUGUGAUUUUUUUUUUCAUUUUUUCCUUCCUGUCAUUUUAUCAUUUCUUUGGCUUUGUCUCUAUUGCGGGCGUUACUGCAUGCUUACUGUUGCUUGACAAAGUUUGCUAGCUUUUCCUUUUGUUUAUUAAAUUUUUUUAUCGUCGCAAAGUAUUACUCGUUCUAUUUGACAGUGAUGUGAAUCAAUUUUUCAAUUUUAUAUUUUAUCGUCAAUGUGAAUUCAAUUUCAUUUGUCAUCAUGCAUAAUCCUCAAUAAUUGUUUCGAUAUUUAUAAAUUGGUGGCCCCUGCGUCCUCAAUAAUUGUUCCGAUACUUAUAAAUUGGUGGCCCCUUAAUAAUUUAACAGCAGCCUGCAAGUGCCGACUAGUGAAAAGUCAUCAUUCACAAUUUUCCAAAUGAACCAGGGGAUAUACAAAUAUUAAGACAUGUCAUUCUUUCUUUUUUUUUGAGUGAAACAGAAAUUUACAAGAAUUACUUUUCUGUUCAAGAAAUCGGCGUCUAAACGCGGCUGAUCGGCCACCGGUGUUGGCGUUUACUGUGAUUAGACAAAUUGUAGGAAUUCAAAAAUAACUUCUAUAGGGGUAAUUUCGAUUUCACAUAAUUAAUUUUAUUUACAAUAUUUUAUUCCUGCUAGGUCAAUUGAGAUUCUUUCCACCGAAAACACCCCUCAUGUUCUUUUAUUUCCUGUCUUUUAUUAGCCGUUGGAUUUUACUACUCUUAUAUCCAACGGCUUGCCACAACAAGACAAAUGAGGUGGUACCUUCCAACCGGUGAAAGGUAGUUUUGGCCCCAAGUGGAACAAGGGAUGCACUUACUAUUAAGGACAGUUGGCGGCCAGCCAAUGCAUUCAUUUUAUGUCCGUUCAUCUUUUCAAUUGUUAAAGACAAGUGGCUCAUCGCUUUUACUACAGGUAAAAUUCAGAUAAUCUCUAUUAUGAAAUAAUAAUAUUCAAAAUAUCUCAUAAAUUAUUAUAAACCUCAAAUUUAUCUUAAUUUUAUUUAAAAAAUAAAAGAAAAAUAGGUUAUGUUGGUGAAUUUUUUUUAAUCUUUUUAAUAAAAAUAAAAUAAAUUGAUGUUUUAUAAUAGUUUAAAGUACUUUAAAGAUUGUAAUUUUAUGAGAGAGUAAUAUUUCACUUUUUUAGUGUAAAAAGUUGAAAAAGGACAAAGCAAGUUUCUCUGAUUUUUAUUUUAUUUGAAAUUAGUCAUCUCAUAUACUUCACCCUUCAACACUACAAUUUUUUUGGUUAUUUUUUUAUUUUUUUAUUUUUUACAUAUGCACGUGAAUUUCUUUUCUUUAAGCUCCUGAAUAUUUAAGACAAAUCAUAGAAGAGAUGAAAGUAUAAUAAGAUGAUCAAAAUACGUAACAAAAAUUUUUAGAAGUGAAACAUACGUUAGAGUUGAAGCAAAACUCCAAAAAUAGAGAUACUGAUUAAUUUAGAAGAGAUGCGAGCAAAAGAUAUUCCCAAACAAAAAAGGGCAACUUGUCCCUUUGGAGGGCAAACUUGUCAGUUUGAAAAAAGUACAUGCUUUGGAUUGAUAGUUGCUGGAUAUUUGUUUUGUCACUGUGUAUUAGUUGAAGAAGUCAAGCCUAGUCAAGAAUGUUGUGAAAGAGCAAAGGAUAUUCCCGAUAGAGCUCUAUUUCAUUAUGUAUCCAGUGAAUAGAUGUGUUGUUGGAAGAUAAGUGAGUGCAUUAGUUCAUUUGUGUCUAUCAAUUUGCUUUUAAUGAUUUUUCCACUUGUUUUGUUGUAAAAGAUUAUUGUAAAAUUAAAUGAAUUUGAUGUUGUAAUAUUUUGUCUUUAGUGGAAUUUCACUUGGUAUGUGUUCAAUUGUGUUGUCUAUAAUUUUGCAUUCAAAUAAGUUUCCACCUAAAAUAUUAGCACGAGUAGUAGCCCUUGAAACUUUAGUCAAAAUUAUUGUUAUAAUUUCUUAUUAGGGGUAAACUUUUUAUUAAACCUCGUUAACAUAAUUCUUAAUUAAUUGUGUGUUUACAUGGAAUAGGGAAUGAGAAUGGAGGAAUGAGAAUGAAACUCAUGUUUACUUGGUAAAAUGUAAUUUGGGAAUGAGAAUAAAAUGUGUGGGUUUUACAUAAUUUGGGAAUAAGGAAUGAGAAUCUCAUUCCCAUGAAGGAUUGAGAAUGAAAUAUAUGUUUACUUUUGUAUCCCUAUACUUUUUUUAUAUUUCCCAAAUUACCCUCAUUCAAAUCACAAUUAAUUUAUUAUUUUAAAUGUCAUUAAUAAUAAUAAUAAUAAUAAUAAUAAUAAUAAUAAUAAUAAUAAUAGUAAUUUUUAAAUUUUAUUAACUUUAUUAUCUUUGUGAUGUUGAACCAUAUACAUAUAUAUAGAGAAAAGUAAAAGCUAUACCUAAGGUUGAGGGAAAAGACUUCAAAACUCUCUUUUGAUUAUAAAACCUUUUGUCUUAAUUAACUUAAAGAUUUUGAAUCUAAUAUUUUAUAAUAAAUAAAAAUAUAUUCCUAAAAUAAAUAUAAUAAUAUCUAUUUUAAAAUAAUAUCAAUAUUUAAAAUAUGUUUUAAUAUUUUAUGCUCUAUCAGACAUAUUUUAUUAUAUUAAAGUAAAUUUAAUAAUAAAUACAAACAUAAUGAAUUUAUAAAACAUUUAAAGUAUUUUGAAUAUUAUAUAAAAUAAUUUUAAUAUAAUGCAUGAGAUAUAUUUUAUUAAUUUAAAAUGCUAUUUAACCUAAGAUUUAUUUAAGAUAAAUUAAUAAUUAAAUUUUUUAAAAUUAUUUCAAAUAUUAAAAAUUUGUAAUAUUAUUAGUCUAUUAGAUAGAUUAAAUUAUUUAUAUUAUUUUGUAUCUAUUAAAAAAUUUUAAAGUCAAUCUUUUUAAUUACUAUUGGAAGGAUAUAAUGAUUAAAAAAAUCUUAGUAUUUUUUUAUUAAAAAUUUAAAAAUUUACAUGACAAUUUCUAUAAAUAUUUAGGUCUCGUUUGGUAUGUCGGAUUGGAUUGAAUUGGAUCUGAUCGGAUUAGAUAAGAUAGGAUUUGAUUGGAUAAUACUGGAUUAUAUAUAAUAUUAUGUUGUGUUUGUUAUGCCAUGAGAUUAGCUAGUAACUAAUAAUAUGUCUUAUAUAUUAAUUUAUUAAAAUCAUCGUAGAUUUUGAAAUACUAACUAGGCAAUCCAAGAGGGGGGGUGAAUUGAGAUUUUAAAAAUUAAGCUAAGCAAACCACACACAAAUUCAAUCUAAUGCCUUAAUAAAUUCGAAAACAAUAAAUUCAAUGAAAGCACAAUAAUAAAUGAGCAAUGGAAGAGAAAGCAAACUCAAGGAUUUUUACAUGGUUCGGUAAUCCCCGCCUACGUCCACGCCUCCAAGCUCACCGGACUUGAGGAUUUCACUAAGCUAGCCUCCCAAGGCUUCAAACGCUUACAAUUGACUUCCAAGGUGUCAAUGAACCUUUACAACAAGAGAUUAUCCCCAAUCUCUUAACCCAAGUGUAUCCCAACACUUACAAUCACUCAAAGUAAAAGAUUACAAAUUGUUUUGCCUCUCACAAUAUAUAAGAUUACACAAUGAUGCUUAUAUAUAUGAAUAGAUGAAGCAAGAAUGUGUUCUAAUUAAGCUCUAUGAAGAUUGUAUUCUCGAAUAUUAGCUCAAUGGUCGUGUUGUGAUCAACCUUCUUUGAUUUUGAAUGAGCUUAUUUAUAUCUGGAGCUGAAAAACUAGCCGUUACAAACUGUCGGUCCGAAAACGGUUCGCCGUUAAUCAUUAACGGUUAACCGUUUAGGCUGGUCAAAAGUUACCGUUGGGCCAAAUUUCAAAUAAACGGUUUGCCGUUUAGGCUUACCCUUUCGUCGUUAAAUUUCAGAGACCUACAAAACAAAUUUAAUUUAACCGUUCUUACUAAACGGUUCAAGGUUAGCAAUCUGGAAAUAACCGGUUAACCGUUUUCAGUAAACGGUUCACCGUUAUUUUCCAAAAUCAUCAUUUUAACAAUACUUUGCAGAACAUGCUUUCUGUAAAUUAUCGGUUAGCCGUUUUAAAUAAACGGUUAGCCGUUUUAUACAGUGAUUGCUACAGUAAAAUUAUUUUUUAAAUUUAUAGUUUGACCUCAAAAUUUUAUAAAACUGUAUUACGGCCCAAAACGUUAUGAAACUUUGCACAUAUGUCCAAUUUCAGAAUUUUUAAAUAAUUCUUUGUCAAUCCCAAAACUUUUUGAAAUUAUGAUUUCACCCAAACUAUGUGAAAUUAUAGAAUGACCCAAAAUAUUUAAAUAGUUUCAAAUAUGUCCAAAUCUGAAAUUUUAAAACAAUAUCAAAGGUUUUAAAAUACUUUCAUUUUAGUUCAAAAUACUUUAAUUCCUUAACAUAAUUUUCUUAUUAUAUAUGAAACCUUUAUACUGUGAAAAGAAUGAUUUAUUUAAAAUAUAAAAAAAUAAUUUGAGCUUAAAAGAUUUAUCAUUCUUAAUCUUGUUUGUUGUCAUCAAAAUCAACAUUAUGAAAACAUAUAUGUUAACAGAUUUACUUUAAAAUGACAUAUAAUAUAAUAUAACUUAAAUCAAUAAUUAUUGGUAAAUUUAUUAAAAAAAUACAAAAUCUUUGCUUAAUUUUUUUUUAAUAUUUAACAUGUUAUAGUUUCUAAUCCCAUGAAUAGUAAAAGAUAAAGUUUUAUCUUAGAAAAUGUAAUCUCAAGGGUCCCAUUGGGAUGAAAUUUUGCCUCUAUUGAAAUUAAGUGGUGGGCCUAUUAUUGUUACCUUUAUUUUUUUUACACCAAACAUAAUAUAAGGAUUAUUUUACACUAAAAUUAUCGAAUCCCAUAAUAUAUAACUAAAACCAAACAGGCACUUAGGGUAUAUAUGAGCCACGGUGGAGAAGCUUUAUUUAAUAUUAUUGAUUUAAAUAAUAUCUCAUUAAAAAUGUACUGAGAAGAAAUUUCGGUGGGUAUUUUAGUCUUUUCAGCAAUCACAUGAUCAGCCUUUGGCCUUGAAACUUCGGUCGGAAUGAUUUAUUCUAACAAGAAAAAACUAGGUAACAUUCCACAAAAGCAAAAGUGACAAAACAACCAGCUGGAUUCUUUUAGUAAACUACAAAUUAAAAUAGAUUUUUUCGAUAAACUACAAAUUAAAGUGGAUUCUUUUGAAUGCAAGUGGGACAGACGAUUAGGCUAAAAAUUAGUCAAGAAUCUAAUAGUCUUUUUCAAAUUCUUGUUUUAUUAUUUUUCAAAACCAGUUUUUGGUAAUUACAAUCGGGUCAUUAAUCAUUAUUCAGAGUUAUUGUUUCCUUCAAAAGUUAGUGGCUCAUGUUUGCAAGUGUGAAUGUGCGAUGCUUUUUUUCCAAAGCGCAAUGACAGUGGGUCCCGAAUCGGACGUGCCUGAAUCUUUUCAAAAUUUUAGGGAAUUAUCAUUUGUAUACCUUUAAUUUAUUUCAUUAUCAAAAAUACUACAAUACUUUAAGGGUGUAUCAAUCGUCCACCCUAAGUUGACAAAAUAUAUCAGCUGACCACUAAAUCGUUAGUUGUCGUUUAAGUAUGAUGACGUCAGAAGGAUAAUUUAGUCUUUUUAUAUAAUACAAGUGAUAAUUUAAGAGUAUAUAAGUGAUAAUUUUUAAGGGUAAAAUUAUCAAUUCACUGUAACUCUGUUAACUUUCAAACGGCAACUAACGGUUUGGUGGUCGGCUGAUACAUUUUGUCAAUUAAGGGUGGACGAUUGAUACACCCUUAAAAUAUUAUAGUAUUUUUAAUAACAGAACAAAUAUAAGGUAUAUGAAUGAUAAUUUUCCUAAAAUUUUUGCCGUAUAAGGAACAGAGGUCAUUACUAAAAUUUCUCUUCCACAGCCUACAGCAGCUUCAGUUUAUCAAACUCAAUCAAUUUUCUUUCUUAACAAAAUUCCAAAGAUGUGUAGCAUUUUUCAGAUCACAUGCGACGGUGCUCUUUUCAAUCGUUGCUUGGAUUGCUUUCUUGGAAAAGCAGCAUACAUACGUAACCUCCAAGAUAAUCUUGUAGCCUUGGAGACUGAAUUGGGAAAUCUAAUCGCAAUAAAGAACGAUCUGAUGAGGAGGGUUGACGAUGAUGAACGACAACAAAUGAGAAGGCUGGACGGAUUGCAAGUGUGGGUUUCGAGGGUGGAUGCUGUUAAAACUGGAGCCGAUGAACUUAUCACAGACGGCUCUGAAGAAAUUGGCAAAUUAUGUGUUGGAGGCUACUGUUCCAAGAACUGCAGGUCAAGCUACAAGUUCGGAAAACAAGUGGCUAAAAAGCUACAAGAUGUGAAGACUUUAAUCGCCGAGGGAGUUUUUGAGGCGGUGGCUACUGAGGUGGUGGCUGAGAGAGCUCCGGAACCUGUAGCAGAUAAAAGACCCAUUGAGCCAACAAUAGUAGGCUUGCAAUCACAGCUUGAACAAGUUUGGAGAUGUCUUGUAGAAGAAUCAGUGGGAAUCAUUGGCCUAUAUGGUAUGGGUGGUGUUGGUAAAACCACACUAUUGACCCAUAUCAACAACAAAUUUCUUGAGAGUCAAAACAACUUUGAUUGUGUGAUUUGGGUCGUAGUUUCAAAAGACCUGCGACUUGAAAAAAUUCAAGAAGAUAUUGGGAAGAAGAUAGGUCUAUCUGAUGAUUCAUGGAAGAAUAAAAGUUUUGAAGAGAAAGCUGUGGACAUCCUGCGGAGAUUAGGAGAGAAGAGAUUUGUAUUGUUGUUAGAUGAUUUAUGGGAGCGGGUUGAUUUAACAAAAGUGGGCGUUCCACUUCCCAGCGCACAAAAUACUACCUCAAAAGUCGUAUUCACAACCCGUUCCAUUGGUGUUUGUGGCAGCAUGAGAGCUAGGCCGGUUAAAGUGGCAUGCCUAUCAGAAAAGCAAGCUUGGGAACUGUUCCGCGAAAAUGUUGGGGAAGAAACUAUUGAGAGUGAUCAUGAGAUCGUUGAGCUAGCCCAAACUGUGGCCAAAGAGUGUGGUGGUUUGCCACUCGCACUUAUUACUAUUGGUCGAGCUAUGGCCUACAGAAAGAAAGCGGAGCAUUGGAGACGUGCAAUUGAAGAGUUAAGAAGAUCAGCUUCAGAGUUUGCAGGUUUGGGAAAAGAGGUGUAUCCUCUUUUAAAGUUUAGCUAUGAUAGUUUGCAGAAUGAGACAAUUAGAUCUUGUUUCUUGUAUUGUUGUUUAUAUCCUGAAGAUUAUGGCAUUCUUAAAUGGGACUUGAUUGAUUGUUGGAUUGGUGAGGGAUUUUUAGGGGAAUCUGACAGGUUUGGUGCAGAAAACCAAGGAUAUGACAUUUUGGACACACUUGUUCGUGCAUGUUUAUUAGAAGAGGUGGAAGAUGAUGAAGUAAAAAUGCAUGACGUUGUUCGUGAUAUGGCUCUAUGGAUAACUUGUGAAAUUGAGAAGGAGAAGAGAAACUUUUUGGUUUGUGCAGGUGAGGGACUAAAGGAGGCACCGGAUGUUAAAAGAUGGGAAAAUGUGAGAAGAUUGUCACUGAUGCAAAACCAAAUUGAAACUUUGUCAGAGGUUCCUACAUGCCCUCAUCUCCUCACUUUAUUUCUUGACUUCAAUGAAAAUUUGAAUAUGAUCGCGGAUGGCUUCUUCCAACUUAUGCCUUCUCUCAAAGUUUUGAAGAUGUCAAACUGCGUGAAUUUAACUUUGAAAUUACCUUUGGGGAUGUCAAAGUUAGGUUCACUAGAACUUCUUGAUGUUUCGCAUACUGGCAUAAGAGAGUUACCAGAAGAGUUAAAGUUGUUGGUAAAUCUGAAAUGUUUGACUUUGAGGUGGACAUUUGAGUUAAAUAAAAUUCCACGGCAACUAAUAUCAAAUUCUUCAAGGUUACGUGUGUUGAGAAUGUUGGGUACUGGCCUUUUGAAUUUUCAUCAAGCGUCAGAAGACAGCGUUUUAUUUGGUGGGGGUGAAGUUUUGAUACAGGAAUUGCUCGGUUUGAAAUAUUUAGAGGUAUUGGAGUUGACCUUGGGAAGUUAUCAUGCUCUCCAAAUUCUUUUGAGCUCAAAUAAGUUAAAAAGUUGUAUUCGAUCUCUUUUCCUCCAGUUGGCCGGAGAUGCAACGUCGAUUGUUGAUGCUACGGCUUUCACAGAUCUAAACCACCUCAAUGAAUUAUAUAUUAAUAAAGGUUUUGAGUUGGAAGAAUUGAAGAUUGAUUAUACGGAGAUAGUACGAAAAAGGCGGGAACCUUUUGUUUUCCGCAGCCUUCACCAUGUUACUAUAUGGCGGUGCGCUAAAUUGAAAGAUUCGACAUUCCUCGUUUUUGCUCCAAACCUCAAGUCUCUUGUGCUACGUAAUUGCCAUGCUAUGGAAGAAAUAAUCAGCGUUGGAAAAUUUUCCGAGGUUCCUGAGAUGAUGCGACAUAUGAGCCCUUUUGAAAAUCUCCAAAGGCUUCAUGUAGAAGAUUUGCCAGAUUUGAAGAGCAUCCACUGGAAGCCAUUGCCUUUCACUCAUCUGAAAGAAAUGGGGGUAAGAGCAUGUGAUCAGCUUGAAAAGCUUCCACUCGAUUCCAGCAGUGCAAAAGAGCAUAAAUUUGUUAUUCGUGGAGAAGCAGACUGGUGGAACCGACUUCAAUGGGAGGAUGAAGCCACUCAAAUUGCUUUUCGUUCCUGUUUCCAACCUUAUUCCUGAGCCGUGGUCGCAAAAUUUGAUUUCUGGUGAGUGCGUUUUUGUUAACGCUUAUGUUUUAUUCCAGUGUAUUUUUCUUCUGUCUUCUGCAAAUCACAAUUAAAUGUGUGAUACAUGUUACGGGUAAUAUACAUGCAGUAUUUUUGGUACACUGCAAAUCACAAUUAAAUGUGUGAUACAUGUUACGGGAAAUUUAUAUACAUGCAGUAUUUUUGGUGGGGUCGAAUUGAUGCUCUGGUUUUCGACUACUUUUUGCUGUCAAAAUUUUCUCUGUUUUUUCAAAUUGAUGCUUUAUUUAUAUCUUCUUCGUGAAAAGUGAUUUAAUUUCCUGCCAAAAGACGAACGAGAAGAACAUUAGAGUCAAACUAAUGCUCACAUAAAUUUCCCGUAAGAAUAUAUAUAUAAUUAGACUGGAAUAGUAGCACUCUUUACAGAAAAUGACGCGAAAGUUAAUUUAGAAAGAUAUAUUCUUGAUUAAUCCAUUUUCUGAAGCUUUUAUUUUGUAUGGUCAAUUAUACCUUCAUACUAAAAAUUUCUGAAGUUAUAAAUUAGUGCAACUUGACAAUUUUUACUGAUGAUAUCUUCUAUUUUUCCUUUCUUUUUUUUUUUACUCUCAUUGAAUGUUACUGUCAUUUUACUUACAAAUAGGUUUGAAUUUUAUUUAGUUUUCUCAUAGUAUUUGUGCAAGUACUAGAAGGUCAAACCCCGCAUACUUUGAUUGCCAAACCACCGUCCAAUUUAAAAAAAGAAAAAAAGAAAAAAAAUGUGUAAUCCAUGAAUCUGGUUAAUUUUGUUUGUUUGUUUUUUUUUUUUAAAUAUCAUUCUUUUUCGGCCACCCAAAAUAUCAUUGAUGACUUUUCUGGUCUAAUGCUAUGUAAAUAGUAUGUUAAGUAAAACAUAAUCAAUUAUUUGUGUUUUAUCUCUAAUUAGAACAUCAAUCAGUUCAGUACCUCACAAAUAAUUCGCAAUAUCUACAAAAUACUAUAAUGGCUACAAAACAAAUCCUGCUUGCAAAUUGUCAAGGAUACCUAUCCGUUCGCUUGACAAGUCAUUUGAAUAAAUAUUGUUCACAUUCCUUACUCUGUCAAUUAUCCAAAGCACCAUCAACUUUAGUUUGAAUAGUAUACAUGCCAUCACCAUUACCAAGAAUCAAGCAUGGAAUUGGAAGUCAUUCUAUAGAGUGCAGAACAUGACUGUACGGUAUAUAUAGCCCGGUGACUUUAUUGUUUUGUUAAAUUUUUUGUUUAAUAUUCUAAAUCUUUGUUUACAAAUUUUAAGUGUUAAUUCUUCGGAAAGCUGACCUCGAAGAAAGGCGUUAUUGAUAUCCAAUUGACGAAAAGGCCGGCCAUGACUAACAUCAAUACUAAGAACAAGUAUAGCCCGGUGACUUUAUUCUUUCUUGUAGUCUUUGCAUCACCACCUCAUUACACGCCAAGCCAAUAUUCCAUUUACCUCUACAACAAAAAGUUUUUAAGUAAACAAUCCUAAUGCACGCAGCCAAAUAAAAUGCAGUAAGAAUAUUCAACUUAAAAAUCUGAAAGCCAACUUGGUGAAUUGCCUCCUUAGGUGAAGUUCCAUGCUUUACUAUAGUUGACACAACUCAGCAAAAGCUUCCAUACAACAGAUUUCGAAAAUGAUGAUGCCAAUAGAUACUCAUUCAAUCCAUUGAAACUCCAAAGGUUCAUUGUUCAUAGAAGUUUACAGAGUUUUGGUCAUCAAAUAGCUCAGACCUAAUCCCAAACAAAAAACGAGUGAAAAUUAGAUCACGAGCAGCUAAUUGUAAAUUCUAACUUAACUCUUCAUCUCCUUUGUAAACAAGAAACAAAAUGGAGACACGCAAAAUGAAUAUGGAGAAAAUUUGAACUCAAAUGAAAUGAGGCACGAAAGCAAACAAAUGGCAUGCACAAAAAAACCAAGCCUCGAUAAAAAACUAAUUAACCAUUAAGAAAAAAAUUGGUCAGAGAAUGAACUCCAAAUUCAGGAGUCAAGCAAGAAGCUUUCAUUAUUUCAGAAGCUCCUGUACAAAUUAAUAAGUUAUGCUCUUUGGAUGCAAACCUAAAUUCCAAGAGAAACAGAACCCAAAAAAUUUGCAAUUAUACGCAAAGGAAGUGAAGCACAGGAUUCUAUCACACAUAGGAAUUGUAUAACAAGAGAUCGAUAUAUCGAAUUAGAAAACUCAAUUCGAAUUUGUGUCAAAAAUCAAAAUUAGAAGAUUUCACAUUUCGAGAGGAACAAGCAACAGAUGAAGUUGAAAAUUUUCAGCCAUAACAUGCUAAAAAUGCUACACUUAACGGUUCAUUUUCAUGGAUUUUCUCGGGAAACAAACAGAAAAUUACGGUUUAGAGAGUUGAAUGACCUUUUGGCUUUUGAAAUUGAGAAGAUCGCGCGCCAAAUUGGAAGAGGGAAAGUGAGAGUGCGAGUUUUAAUAUCAUUGUUUUAUUAUCGAUAAUUAUUAAAUGUUUUUCCAAAAAAAAGAACAAGCAAGGAUAUUUUAUUGUCAUUUGCAACCUUUAAUUUUUUAAAUGCUAUUAGAAACACAAGACAACAAAGAAAUACUUAUUUUUUUUCUAAAACUAAAAUCAAUUCUUUAACUUCUUAUUUCAUAAUCCAACUCCAUUACUAAGUUAAAAAAAAUUGUUUAAAAAUUACUUGAGUCAUAUCCAAUGGACCAACAAAGUAAUCGUUUUUAUUUUUAUUGAUUUUUGCAGGAAAUUAAUAAGUUAAAAAUACUGAAAGCUAUUGUAAAAAAUUAAAUUUCCCUGAUACUGAAAGCUAUCGAUAAUUAUUAAAUUUUAUUUUUAUUGAUUUUCGCUGAUUUUAAAUUUCGUUGUUUGUGAUGGAAAUUUUUUUGAAAAAAUUAAUGUGUUCGAUGAAUGUCAAAAUCUCAAAAACUUUUUGUUUUUCAUUUUUUUGGAAAAAACCACCGAGGUCCUUACUAUUUUUCUUAUAUCAUCUUGCUUAAUAAUUUGCAAAGUCUAUCACAUAGCACCCAUGCAUGAUGUAUGCUGGUUGUAAUUUACAAUAUUGUACAUGAAUAAAUCCAGCUAAAAUUUGUUAAAAGAAAAUAAUAAUAACAUAUUAAAACUUUAAAAUUUGAUUAUUCGAAGAAAUUUUAAUUUAGUUAAGUAGGUGACAUGAUAAUAAAUAGAUACGUAUAAUGUCCGAGAUUUUUUAUAAGAUUAAUAAAUAUAAUAAAUUUGGAUUAGUUCAAUUUUGACAUAAUUCAGAAUAAACACAUCUUGCUAAUCUAAAUUGCCACCGUUACUCAUCAUCAGGUACCUGUUUGAAAAAUAAUUACAAACAACUUAAUUUGUGUUGUUUCUCUAAAAGUUUGAGACACAAAUGUUAUUUCAAAUUGAAACGCCAUGCACUAGUAGUAGGUAAGAGAAACCAAGGUUGAAGUUACUGUUCAUUUAUUUUUAUUUAUGAUUUUUUGUAAAAUGUAAGAAAUAUGUAGAAAUGUUGCCAACAAUGAUUUUGGAACUUUGCAUAAAAUUUUUAUCAUUAUUGUUUUUGGUAUUAAGAAAUCCGAGGCGGUGAUUAGUCGUAUGUUGCAACAAUUAAGAAAUUUCUUAUUGGAGAUAAUUUGGUAGGUUGCAACAAUUAGAGAAUAAUUUUCCGGUCAGUUAAUCAAUCAAUAAUAAAUUUCAAAUUGCAGAAAAUAAAAUAAUACUGUCGCACUUAGAAUCAUCUUUUCUAUCUCUUUCAAUUGUGACAAUCAUUUGUAACUAAUAAAUCAAUUCAAAGUUCAAGUCACUGCUCAAUUGCAGAGUAGUUAGUAGACAUGCAUGCAUGUUUAAUUAAGUACUGCAUUGUAGUAUCGAAAAUCAUAACAUCUCACCAAGCCCGGAAGCAUAGCUCUUUAUCUUGUAAAUGUUGAAAUCUUAUGCAACCUAUGGGAAACAUGAUCUCACUCUCAGUGUCACUUGAUUCCAUUUUCUGUUCUUGCCUUGAUUUCAUUGUUGGGAAUGUGACGUCUGAGUCUAAGGUUGAAGAUAAUCUCGAUGCCUUGCGGACUGCAUUGGAAAAAUAAGCGGAAACGAGAAAUGAUGUGAUAAAUUGUGAGCCAACAAUAGUGGGCAUGGUGUCGACUUUUGAGAAAGCCUGGAGAUGCCUUGAAGAAGAAUCAGUUGGAAUUAUUGGCCUGUAUGUUAAUGGGGGAGUUGGAAAAUAUUUACUCAAAUCAACAACAAGUUCCUUGAUAGUCCAAAUAAUUUUGAUGUUGCGAUCUGGGUAGUGGUCUGCCAAGAUUUACAACCCCAGAAGUUUCGGGAAAAGAUUGGGAAAAAGAAAGGCUUGUUCGAUGAGUCAUGGAAGAACUGAAGUUUUGAAGAGAAAGCACUCGACAUAUUCAAGAAUUUAAGCAAGAUGAAGUUUGUAUUACUGCUGGAUGAUAUAUGGGAGCAGGUUGAUUUAAUUAAAAUUGGUGUCCCUCUUCCAAGCACAAAAAUUACAUUCAAGAUAGUCUUCACAACUCGUUUUAUUGACAUUUGUGGCCUCAUGGAAGCUCACAACAAGAUUAAAGUGGAGUGUUUAAAUGACGAAGAAGCAUGGGAAUUAUUCUGCAAGAAGGUUGGAGAAGAUGUGGCGAUAAAAUGAGUAUAUAUAUCCACUUUUGAAAUUCAGUUAUGAUAAUUUACCUAGCGAUAAAAUUAGAUCGAGUCUGUUAUACUGUAGUUUGUUUCUGGAAAACUUUCCAAUUAGCAAAACGGAAUUGAUACAUUGUUGGAUAAGCGAGGGCCUUUUGGAUGAAACUAAUAGUUCUGAGAUAUGAAAUCAAGGAUACUACAUUAUUGGUGUUCUUGUUCCUUUAUGUUUAUUGGAAGAAGAGGCUCCACUAUAUGUAAAAGUGCAUGAUGUGAUACGCGAUAUGCUUCUGUGGAUCGCAUGUGAAUUUUUUUUUUUUUUUUUUUGAUAGGGAUAGUAUGUGAAGUUGAGAAGGAGAAAGAGAAUUUUUUGGUUCGUGCAGGUGCAAGGAUUAACUGAAGUACCAGACAUUUGGAAAUGGGAAGGGUUGAGAAGGGUGUCUUUGAUGAGCAACAAAACUGAGAAGUUAUCAGAAAUUCCUUCAGAUCCCCAUCUACUGACUUUGUUGCUUCAACGUAAUUAUUUAGAGAUGAUCAAUAAUGACUUCUUCCAAUCUAUGCAUUCCCUUAGAGUUUUGAACUUAUCAUGUAAUCGUUCUCUAACUGAUAAUUUCAAAGUUAGUUUCCCUACAACAUCUUAAUUUAUCAAUGACUAACAUACGAGAGUUGCCGAUUGAGUUAAAGUUUGUAGUGAAUCUUAAGUUUUUGAAUGUGGAGUAUGCACGGUUUCUUCAUUCAAUUCCAGGGCAAGUGAUAUCCAGUUUUACGAUGUUACAAGUUUUGAAGAUGUUUGGUUGUGGCAGGUCAUCUUCUGAUCGUGAGCCACACCAGAAGAUAGCGUUUUAUUUGGAGGCAGUAAACUUUUGAUUGCGGAGUUGUUUGGUUUGAGAGACAUUUAGAUUUGUUGACCAUCAUCCUAAGAAGCUCCCAUGCUCUGAAAGAUUUUUGAGCUCCAACAAACUUCAAAGUUGUACUCAAUCUCUCUAUCCUAAAUGCUUUGAUUCGAAGUCAGUUGAUGUUUUUGGCCUGGCUGAUCUGAAGCAUCUCAAUAGGCUAUAGAUAUUGCGAGUUGUAAGCUUUUGGAAGAAGUGAAGAUUGACUUUGUUGGGAAAGCACAAUGAACCCAUGGUUUUCACAGCCUUAUGUCACGGAAGUUGUGUAAAUACUGCACGGGUUGCUGCCAUCCCAUGACAUUGAGCCAUGUUGAAAUAUCAUUUUGCUGUAAACUGAGGGAUCUGACAUAGCUUGCUUUUGCUCCAGGCCUUCUUGUUGUUUCCAGAAAACAUUGCCAUGAUAUAGAAGAAAUACUCGGUGUUGGAAAAUUAGGUAAAGAGAUGAUGUCAAACCUGGAACCUCCUACAAAACUCCAAGGUUACGUUUGUCAUGUGGGAUUGGAUUGAACUAAAUUAUUAAGAUUGAAUUAAAUUGAAUUAUAUUUAUAUUCUUAUGUUUAGUACCGGAUUGAACUAUAUUAGAUUAUAUUUAAAUAAUAUUAAAUAGUAUUUAAGUUGGUAUUUUAAUAUAAAUAUCAAUUAUCCAUGAAAUUUUAUAAUCAUAAUUAAAAUAAAUUUAAAAAGUAAUUACUAGGAAAAUUAAAUAUAUUGCAAAAAGUUAUUGGGUAGUCAUAAUAUAAUAAGCAAAUAAAAUUAAAUAAAACAAAUUAAAUAUUUAAUUAAUUUUUAUCAAAUAUUUAAAAAUAUUAUAUAAAAUCAAUUAAUUAAUGGUUUUAUUAAUUUUCAUGAUUAUUUUUAAUAUUACAUUAGUGAUUAUUAAAUUUAAUACAAUCAAAUAAUGCAAUAAAUAAUUAAACGUUUAAUUUUAUCGAUUAAUUAUUAAAUAUACAAGUAAUAAAAAUUUAAUCUCAGGAGUUGGUAGAAGCAAAAGUACUAAUUUAAUUACAUCAUAGAUAAUAAAUAAAAAUAAAUUCUAAGUAAAUCAUAAUAAAAAAAUUAAUUAAUUGAUUCAAUCAAUCAAUAUUAGGUGUAAAUAAAAAAAGAGUAAUGAUAUAGCCACAAACUCUUGCACAAACUUAUUUUGUACAAACUCAUGUGUCAUGAUAAGAUUAAUUAAAUUAAAUAUCACUUGACCUACAUGAUUUAUUUUUAUUAUUUUAUAUUUUCAUUCAACCAAUGAAUUAACGCCACGUCAGUUUGUAUAAGAUAGGUUUGUACAAGAGUUUGUGGCUGUAUCAUCGCUUAUAAAAAAAAAUAUAAAUAAAAAUAUCAUAAAUAGACAACUUUUAUCUUUAAUCUUAUUCCAACUAAACACAUGUGUAAAUUAGAAUUAUUAAUCCCAUGAUUUUAAGAUUAAAUUCAAAUUUAUUCCCCCUUAAUCCAAUCCAACUAAACUUGUCAAACAUGGGAUAAAAAUUUAAUUCUAAAAUUAGUACAAUUCCAUAUUUAAUCCUAACAUCCAAAUAUAGCCCAAGUUGUUUGCUUAAAGAAGCUACCAAAUUUGAAGAGCGUUUACGGGAAGGCCUUGCGUUUCCCAGAUGUAUGCAGAAUUUUUGUAUCUAAAUGCCCAGAACUUAAGAAGCUGACGCUGGAUUUGAAAGGGCGGGCCAAGGUAAAAUUCUUAUCAAGUGAAAGGAAAAUCGGUGGGAACAACUUCAAUGGGAGGAUCAAGCAACUCAGGAUGCAUUGCUUCUGUUUUUCAAAUCAACUGACAAGUGAUUGAAGGGGGCAUCAUCAGCCUGGAUGGGGAGAUCCUGGAGCAGAUCAGCAGGGUUUGAAUCUGCAUCAUCAACAUCAUCAGGAUCUCUAUUUCUAUUGCUGGUCGUAAUGCCUGCCUACUGUUGCUUGAAAAAGUGAUUAAGUGAGCCAGUUUUUUGUUCAUUAAAUUUUGUCUUGUAGAGACAGUCACAAAGUAUUUUUCUUAGUUGUUCUAUAUGAGAGUGAUGUGAAUCAAUUUUUCAAUUAUAUAUUCUGUGGUCAUUGUGAAUUUUGUUUAGAGCUGCAGACUAAGAAUAUGGAAAAGUUCACCGGCCAAAACUUUGUAAAAGCUUCCAAGUGAAGGGCCCGGGUGGGACUUGGGAGGCACACCAUGUUUUGUCUUCUAGCGUUGUGGCCGUUAGAUAUUUGGUCCCAUGAUCUAACGGCGCAUGAAAUUGAAAGGAAAUCGGCAACCGUUUAAGAGUGCUCAAGUGAGGUAGGUUAGGGUUUUACGAAAUCUCAAAAGACCAAGAUACUCCAAACUGCCCAUGAAAUUGAAAGGAAAUCGGCAACCGUUUAAGAGUGCUCAAGUGAGGGAGAUAUUUGGAGAAUAGGGUAGACAUCUCCACCCCCACUCCGCCCCAUUGCCAUCCCUAAAGGCAAAUGAGGUGGUACCUUCCAACCGCUGAAAGGUAGUUUUGGUCCCAAGUGAAACAGGGGAUGCACUUACUAUUAAGGACAGUUGGUGGCCAGCUAAUGCACUCAUUUUAUGUCCUUUCAUCUUUUUGAAUUAUUGAAGACAAGUGGCUCAUCGCUUUUACUGUAGGUAAGAUCCAGAUGAUCUCGUUUAUCAAAAUAAUUAUUUUAAAAUACUUUAAUUGUUUUUACUUUUAUGUUAUCUUUACUAAACUGGAAUCAGAAUAAGCUGAAAUCGAAAUGAGUAGGAAUAAGAAUAGAAUGGAAUGAAAAUAAUGAAUGAAAAUCAAAAUAAGUUGUUUACUUGAACUAUAGGAAUUAAAAUCGAAAUGAGCUGGAUUGCCAUUAAUGUGUUUACUUUGUCUUGGAAUCGAAAUCGGAAUGAAUUAGAUUGUAACAAAUUACUAAAAAGUACUUAAUGGAUUAUUGUCAUAAUUAUUAUUAAUUAAUAAAUUAAUUAAUUGUAAAAAAAUUUAAUUAAUUAUAAUAACUAUAAUAAAAAUUAUUAUAAAAAUAUAUUAACUAAUAAUAUUACUAUAAAUUACUUAAUUAAAAUAAUAUAUGAAUUAUUGUGAUUAUUUAUUCAAAAAAUAUAAUUAUUAAUAAUUAUUGUUAAUAAUAUAUUAGUAAUAAAUAUAUUAAUUAUUUAAUAAUGUGAUUAUUUAUUCAGGAACAAUAAUUAUUAAUAUAUUAUUGUUAAUAAUAUAUUAAUAUAUUAAUUAUUGUGAUUAUUUAUUCAAGAACUAUAAUUUUUAAUAAUUAUAGUUAAUAAUAUAUUUAUUUAUUAAUUAAUCAUAAUAUAUUAAUUAAUUAAUUAUAAUAUUAUAUUAAUUAAUUAUAAAAGAGGACAAAGUGGGUAUUUUUAAUUUUGGGGAAGGUAAAAUGGUCAAUCCUAGGAAUGAGAGACUCAUUCCCACCUGCCUAUGGGAAUCAAUCUCCCAAUCUUCAUUCUCAAAUAGUGGUGGACCCCAUCAUUCCGAUUCUGAUUCUUGCUCCAUAUUUACGAAGUAAACACCGUCAAUCAUUUUAAUUCUGGAAUUCGAUUCUUUAAUCCUGCAAGUAAAUUAGGGAUGGCAAAACGAAUAAACGAAUCGAAUCGUAAACGAAUUAGGUCAAAAUUCUAUUAAUUUAGAUUCAUUUAUUAAACAAAUUAAAAUUUUAUGAGUAGGAUUCGAUUGAUUUAUUAAACGAAUAUUUGAUUUUUAAUAAACUAUAUAUGAAAGUGGAAUCUUUUGAAUAUAAGUGGGUAAGCUCCCUUUAAAAAAAAAAAAAAAAAAAAAAAAACCGGGGUAGGCUCUUUUAUUAAAGACAAGUCACAAGUAUUGAGUAGUCACGAGUCACGACGGUUAGGCUCUUUUAUUAAACUGCAAAUUGUAGGAGGUUGCUAUGCUACUGGGAAGCAGCACACGUGUCCUGAAGAGAGAGAAAAACCGAGCAAAUACAGGCAAUGGGAGUUGGCUAAAAGUUGGAUCUGCAAUUUACAAAAUCUGUAACUUAGGGGAAAUUUACAGUAAUAACCAAAAAAAAUUCCCUUUUUUUCAUUUUAACCCCCAAAAAAUAUUUCUAUCAACAUUAGCCAUUAAACAACAUUUGAGACCAAAAUACCCCUCCCUCAUCUCUCCCCCAACACUCCAUUUCACUCAUCUCUCCCAAACCGAUCCAACUCCCAUCAUCGGCGGCGACAUCAACCCUCGUCGGCGGCGGCUCCAUCUCUCACCGGCAUCCGAUCUACGAUCUACAACCUUCAACAAAAUCUAGGUUAGUCAUUUUUCUUAUUUUCAUUAAUUUAAAAUGAGAUUUUAGAAUAAUAAUAGUUAUAGCUUGAGAUUAAUAGUGGUGGUGAUGAUGUUUGUGGUGGUUGGUGGUGUUUGGGAGUAUUGUUUUCGAUUUUGGAGUGAUUGUGCUUAAUUUUGCGGGUGGGGAGGGAGGGGAGUAGGGCGCGCGCGCGCCCAUCGCUGGGCAGCAGCGCGGCACGCUGUUGCACCAAAUCUGGUGCGACAGCUAUUUUUUUUGUUUAUUAAUAAGUUUUAUUGUAUUAAAUAUUUGAUAGUUGUUUUAUUUGAUUUUUCACUUUGGUUGUUGUAGGCUUGGAUUUACGAAGCAAUCGGAGGGUUGCCAUCAACAUGGGUCGUCAAAACGAAGAAUAAGAUUCCCCGCAUUCUGCAAUGGAAGCCCAUGGCGUCGUCGAGAAUCAACUUUGCGGAGGUUUAUUCGUUCUUCAACGACGAAUCUCGUCUUGUAAGUAAUAUGUAUUACUUAUUUUUUAAACUUUACUAAAUUUAAGUUAUGUAUACUUACUUAAAAUUUUCAAUUGAAUUUAUGGAAGGGGGACGUUUUACAAACCCUUGAGCCAAAUUCAAAGGAGAGUAGCAAAAAUUAUUGGCUCUCUGUGAAGGAUUACUUGCCAAGCAUUCCAGACUGGGUUCAUAAGGUCGGUAUACUCUAAGCACGAAAAAUUUGUUAAUCGAAAUUUUUGACUUUUCAUUUACUAAUUUUAAAUGAUACUUUAUACAGCACCAACCCUCAAUCAACGCGAUGCCGUCGGUUACAAGGCAUUCAGACGAGCAUGACGAUCAUGACGACAUACCAAACCCAAUACCAGAGCAGUGUCAUGACACUUUUGCGGAUGAGGUGGGCCAUGACACUUUUGAGGAUGAGGUGGGUAAAUAUGACCACCAGGAGCAAACAGACAACUCUGAUGACGCACGGGAUUCUGAGGUUAGAAAUAAUAUACGAUAUUUUUUUUUAUAAAUUAUUAAUUUUUUAUUGUUAUUCUAAAGUUUUAUUUUUUUCUUUUGUAAUAGUCGAGGACAAAGCAGUUUAAUGAUUACGUACGACGACGGCUGGAUAAGAUUGAUCGUAACGUGUAUGAAAUUAAGUCAGAAUUAAAAGAUUUUAAAGAAACCGUUGUUGGUUUCAUCGACACAUUUUCUAAACGUCCAAAUAAGGAUUCUCCCACUGCACGCUCGUAUGCGGUAAGCUAUUUUAAAUUUGAUAAUAAUGUUCGUUUAACUUUUAAUUUGAUAGUUAUUUAAUAUGUUCUUUUUGGCGAAUGUACAGGCCCCGGAUGACGUUGGAGUGUAUACUGACGUGGGCAAUGAAAAUUUGUCUACGCCCACAUCAUUGUAUAGUUUCUACGGGGAUGUAAGUGGGGAGAGCGUGCAGGUGUUCACAGAGGUGCCUCCGGGCGUUAGUAAGUUCGGCCGCGCGUACAUACCGUCGUAUGUUUAUAACAGUCCGUACAUGAUUCCUCCGGUCAGGCGAGGACAGCACGUCCGGCCUUUACCUCGACCCCAAAUCAUGGAGCAUGCGAUUGACAUGAGUACGAGUGUGGAUGUAAAUCCACUGAGAGGAUUGGAGGACUCUAGUCUGUUUGCUGAGUUUGAUCAAUGGUUUACUGGUGAUAGCAGAGUCCGCCGGAGAGUCCAGCACCCGCGGUCAUUCUUUCAAAUAAUUUUGGGGACAGCUUCGAUGGGAUGGUUAGGCGAUGAGGUAUUUAUAAUUUCCUCGUGGUGUAUACUGUUGUGGAUUUGUGUAUAAAUUUGUUUUUAAAAACUCGUAAUAUUUCUGUUUCUCUACAGCAUAUUCACGAGUAUCUCCGCUUGAUUAGCGAGAAGCAACGGCAGUAUCCAAAUGCCUUACUCCAACGUGUCACACAUACUGACACAUUUUUUUGGGUAACGUGCCGACAAAACUUAUAAAUCUUAUGUGGAUGUAAAAAUUUAAGUUUUAUUAAUUUAUGCAUUUCUUGGUUAUCUAUGUAUUAGGUGUUCUUGAAUCAGUUAUGGAAUAACAGGAAUUGUGCAGUCGAUUCAAUGGUAUUCGACGACCGCGUGAAUAGUUAUCUUUGUGGCCGCCAGCACACAAUGUCUAAAUCAAUGACGGAUGUCGAUAUGGUAUGUAUUUUAUUACAUUUCACAUGCUAUCUAAUGAAAAUAUUCAAGUUGUUGCUUUUUCUUUGUUGUAUUGUAUUUUAAUUUCAUACAUAACGAACAUGUUUUUCAAUUGUUAUAUGCAGCUACUCAUCCCUGUUAACUUCGACGGCGCGCAUUGGGUACUAGCACGAGUUGACUUUCGGAAAAACAAAGUCUGGAUUUAUGACUCAUUACUCACAAAUCGCAACGACAAAAGGUACAAGUUGAAAUUCAAGCCACUUGAAGUUAUAUUCCCUCGAUGGUUGGAAUACGUUGGCUUCUACAAUAUCCGACCGGAGUUGCAGAGUGAAGACCCGUGGAAAGUUAUCGCAGUUAAGAGCGCGCCACAACAAGAGCCCGGAACUGGCGAUUGCGGUGUUUUUGUAUUGAUGGUUACGAUGUAUUUAAUGUUCGGGAUUAGAUUGGAGUUUAACGCUAGUCAUGUCGAGUACUUUAGAAAGAAGAUUGCGGUUGAUAUAUUUAAUGACGAUAUUCAAUUGUAAACCUAUGUAGUAAUUCAAAUGUUGAAAUUUGAAAUUUUUUUUACUUCGCACACUUAAGUUUAUAUAAUUUUAAUGCCUCACAUUUUAAACUUUAAAUAAAGUUUUAUGAAAUAUAAGUGUACAAUACAAAACAAACAGUAACAGUUUUAACCAACGAACACAAAAACAAUAAUAGUUUUAACAAACUCAUAACACACAAAAUACAACUAACUUCGAGUCGACGCAAUGGGAUUCUUACAUCUCUUACGAUUAUGGCCUAGUUCAUGACACCGACCGCAUCUAACAGUCCGCCGGUCAACGUCCUCGCCAGCCGAGGGUAUUCUGAGCUCUUUACGACGGCCAGGUGGUGGUGCCUCAACUGGUGGGUAUACAUGCAUUUCCUGAAUUUUAUCUGGAAUUUCCCAAUCAGCCACAUCACCAACUGGCUCUACUGGUUGUGCAUAAGCCAUCGCCAACGAUUCUGUAGUGUAAAAGUCCGAGCAAAGGUUAAUAAAAUCCACCCGGUGUGUUAGACACGCCGCGAUUGCAUGAGCACACACAAGCUGAUCAAGCUGGAACACUCUGCAGGAGCAAGUUCUCUUUUGCAAGUCAACUAACCCUUCCUUAAGCCCACCGCCUAUAACUUGAAAGCGAUGCGGAGACACCGGCCGAACUAUCAUUCUUUCAGCUAUAGUUCUCCUCUCAGUGACUAUUUCAUCCGCCCAUGUUGUUAGCCGAGUAGUCAUUGAUUCAGCCACAAUUUUCCUAUCAUAAAACCAUUGCUGCAAUGUUUUCCUAAAGUGAUCAACAAGAUGAGUCACAGGAAAUUUUCGAGGUUCCCUCAUGAACGCAUUAACACUCUCCGCGAUGUUCGUGGUAAGAAUGCUGUACCUCCUACCUUCAAACUGCGACCUUGCCCAAUUACACGUACCGACAUUAUUUUCUAGGUAAUCAGCCGCACCCGAGUGGAUCAUCCACAACCCUUCAAGUUGUCUCUUAAAUUCCUCGUGGCCAUAUGCUUUUGCUGCAUUAAUAAAGGCAGGCUCAAAUUGAUCCCAAAGAGCUUUGGACAUUCUAAACUGAGACUUAAUGUUACCUUUGACGUGGUAAAAACAAACGCCAUGAGUUGCAUUGUGAAAAACUUUAAGAACGGCUCUCCUUAUGGCAGUGCAUCGAUCAGAGAUAAUUACCAACUCAGGUCUAUCGCCAAUCACUCCGUGUAACUUCAUCAUAAACCAUUCCCAAGCAUCGUUGUUUUCUGAAUCCAUGAUCCCAAUGGCUAACGGAUACAAUUGAUUGUUACCAUCAAGACAUGUUGCCACGAACAUGCUUCCACGAUAUAAUCCCUUCAGAUGAGUACCAUCUACAGCAAUGACAGGCCGAAUGUACUGCAUAAAACCCUUGAUGGAAGAUCCGAGUGCUACAAAAUAGUACAAGAAAUUACCAUCUCCAUCCUGCUUGAGGUGAGUGACUGUACCCUCAUUCGCUGUAGUUAGUACGUGAGAGUAUUUAGGGAGCAAGUUGUAUGACUCUGCAGGGUUGCCUCGAACUAUUUCAAGACCAACUUCUCUCGCCCGAUAUGCCUGCUGGUAUGUUAACUGAACACCGUAUUCCUGUUGCAUAUCUGCUCUUAUGUCAUUCGGAGUAUAAAUCCUCUUGUCUUGAAUAUAUUUUUCUGCGAUAAUAUGACCGACAACCUGGCUCCUGACUUGAUGACGUCCAUCAACCAAUACCUCAUUAUGACAAGUGUGUACAUUGUCAAUUCUCUUCACCACCCACGGAAUAUUUUGCUCGUUCGAACAUCUAGUUGCUCGAAUACGCCAUUUACAUGAUUCUGAACAACAGUGAGCCUCGAAACGUGUCGUAGUAGACCGUGCAAUCUUGAAAUCAAACUUGUCUCUAAAGGCAACCUUGCGUAGUUGUAAUAUAAACUCAUUUUUCUCAGCAAAUAGCUUACCCACACUGAUAUCAUCUGAAUCACAACUGCUAACAAAGCUUGGAGCAACCAUAUUCGAAGGCAAAGUUGGAGCAACACUUGUAAGGGGGUCAAUUCGCCUUCUCGAUCGAACCAUAGAAGGAAUAGGUCUAUUGCCUCUGUUAUUCACAGGAGUAUUGUCUUCACACUCAUCCUCAUGCUGAAACGACGGAACAUUUGAAGGACCGGCUCCUCCAUCAUCACCAUCAUUAUUGUAACGCGUGCCCCCCCUUGUAGUAUUAGAAGGUUCUGCACAAACAUUAUCCCCCUCUGUCUCAUUAUGAAAAUCAUCAUUGUCCCGAAAAACAUUGUUGUGAUACGGAGAAUAUCGUUGCUCCAACGACGUUGUUAUUGGAAAUACUGUUGCUCCAACAUCCUGUAACGUAACGCCAUUAUCAUCAAUGUUGUCAUAAUUAUCGUGGAUUGGAGAGUAAUAUUGCUGCAACGAUAUUGUCCUUGGCAACACCUCUUCAUCAUUAUCGGGGCCAGACAUAUUUGCUCUAAACGAAGUUUCUGUAUCGACAUGUGGCUCAAUACCUUCGCUCGGAACUCGAGGUGAUGUGGUCACGAAUAUAGGAAUGCAUCCAAAAUUAGCUACGUCCGAUGCCAUAUGCAACACAACCCUCACCAUUUCAUCAUCGCAUAUAUCCAUGGGCAUUGCACAUAUACGAUAUAAUGUGUUACUAGACCUCAAAGUUGUCUUCAUGGUGAUACUAUAGUCAUUAGGGUUAAUUUGUAACACCUCGUAUACUCUUGCCAAUAACUGAUCAAACAAAUAAUUUUUUCCAACCAAAAAUGCUCGAUUUUUACCAUUCACGUACUCCAUACGGCUAUUUUCUAAUGUCUCCCACCAACCAUCGUAACACAAUUCAAGUACAACUGAAUCCAUUAAGCCUGAAAUUAUAAAAAAAAAUUAUUUCAGCCAUAUUAAAAUAAUACAGUUUUAAUGAUGUAUUUCAUGGUGGGUGCGACAGGCAACCUGUCGCCCGAAUCUUGGUGCGACAGGGUGCCCGUCGCACCAAGGUUUGGUGCGACAGGGUGCCCGUCGCACCAAACCUUGGUGCGACGGGCACCCGUCGCACCUUGCUUGGUGCGACAGGCACCUGUCGCACCAAGUUUUGCUGCGACAGGCAGCCUGUCGCCAGAUCCAGAUUUAGCCCAGUUGUUCAGAAAAUAACUCAUACCAGUAACUGAUGUCGAUUUGUGUUGGAUUCGGGAUUCGGAUGUCGAUUUGUGUUGGAUCCGGAUAAAUUAUGAUCGGAUAUCACUUUUAUCGUUGUCCUUUGCGGUCACCGUUGACUGAUGAAUCAAGAGCGAAAAGCUGCUUUUGGUUUGGCGAUAUAGGAGAAACGACGUUGGUUUUGUUACGCAAAGAAGGGUAAUUUGGGAAAAAAGGCUUGUGUUUGGCUAAUGUUGAUAGAAAAAAGUUCAGAGGGUUAAUUGCAAAAAUAAUAAAAUAAUAAUGGUUAUUUUCGUAAAUUUCCCGUUUGAAUAUGACCUUUGGCGCUUUGUUUUUUUUUUUUUGUGAAUUUUUUUCAUUUUUUCCUUCCUGUCAUUUUAUCAUUUCUUUGGCUUUGUCUCUAUUGCGGGUGUUACUGCAUGCUUACUGUUGCUUGACAAAGUUUGCUGGCUUUUCCUUUUGUUUAUUAAAUUUUUUAUGGUCACAAAGUAUUACUCGUUCUAUUUGACAGUGAUGUGAAUCAAUUUUUCAAUUUUAUAUUUUGUGGUCAAUCUUAAUUCAAUUUCAUUUGUCUCCUGCAAUUAUGAAAAAAUUGCAGUCAUAAUAUGGAAAAAUACACCGGCAAAAACUUUGUAAAAGCUUCGGAGUGAUACGGCGAAUUCACUUACUACCAAGGACAAUUGGUGGCAAAGCUAUUCCAUUCAUUUUAUGUCCAUCCAUCUAUUUAGUUAUUGAAGACUAGUGGUCCAUUUGUAAAUUUCAGAUUGUCUCUCUCUCUCUCCCUCUUGAAAUAACAAUAUUUAAUAUAUCUCUUAAAUUAUUAUAAAUUUUAAUUUACUCUCGAUUUAAAAUGGAGCAUGUCGAUAAAUUUUUUUAUUAAUAACAUUCUUUUAAUAAGGGAUACUAAUAUCUUAUUUUGAUUAAUAACAUUCUUUCACUGUGUUAACUCAAAAAAAAUAUUAUAAUGCUUUACAAUAAAUACAAAUGUCCUAUUAAAUGAAUAUAUAAAAAAUUUAGAAUAUUUAGAAUAUUAUAUAAAAUAAUUUUAAUAUAAUGCGUGAGAUAUAUUUUAUUAAUUUAAAAUGUCAUUUUACCUAAAAAAUAUGAUAAAUUAAUAAUUACAUAUUUGAAGUUAUUUCAAAUAUUAAAAAAAAAUUAAUAUUAUUAGUCUUUUAGAUAGAUUAAAUUAUUUUUUAUAAGAGAUAGAUUAAAUUAUUUUAAAAUACCUUAAUUGUUUUUACUUUUAACGCUACCGGCCUUUCUUUUAUUUUAUUGCAAAUUAAUGCUAACAAGAAAAAGCUAGAUCAUAUUCCACAAAAGCACAACCAGCUGGAAUCUUUUAUAAAACUACAAAUUAAGAUGGAUUUUUUUUUUUGAUAAAUUACACAUGAAAGUAGAUUCUUUUGAAUAUAAGUGGGGUAGGCUCUUUUAUUUUAUUUUUGAAUAUUGUAUAUCGGGACUGUAGAUUUUUUUAUUAAACUACAAAUUGUAUAGUCUUUUUCAAAUUGUUAUAAAUUAGUGGCCCCUACAAUCCUCAACAAUUGUACCGAUAUUCACAAGUUGGUGGGCCCUACAAUUCUGUUCCGAUAAUUUAACUGUGCAAGUGCUCAUUCACAAUCUUCCAGGUCAUGCUCUCUAUAAUUGUUUUUUUUUUUUUCUGCAUUCCCUUUCAUGCUCUUAAUAAUUGAAGAGCAUACUUUUCAUUUUCAAAUGUGGAGCCGCAGCUAAUGUCGCUAAUUUAAUUUGGGAUUAAAUUAGGGGACCAUUAUAUUGCAGUGUGCACUAAUUUUUGUGUUUAUCUAAACUCCUUAAGUUUAAGACAUAUUAUGGCAUAAAUAAGAAUAUAACAAUAACAAAAGAGUUAUUCAUAAAAUAUGUGAGAUAUUCAUAGUUUAUUAAUUUAAAAUACCAUUUUAAAAUUAAAGAUUUAUUUAUGAUAAAUUAAUAAUUAUAUUUUUGAAAUUACUUCAAAUAUUAAAAAAUUAAUAUUACUAAUCUAUUAGAUAGAUUAAAUUAUAUAUAUUAUUUUCUAUUUAUUAAAAAAUUAAAAUUAUUUUUAAUUACUAUUCAAAAAAUAUAAUGAUAAAAAAAAAUCUUAACAUCUUUAUUAAAAAUUUAAAAAUUUACAUGAUCAAUUCUCUAAAUAUUUAGGGUAUAUGUGAACAUCGGUGGAGAAGCUUUAUUUAAUAUUAUUGAUUUAAAUAAUAUGUCAAUUAAAAAUGUACAGAGAAGGAAAUUUCGGUGGUUAUUUUAGUCUUUUCAACAAUUAUCAUGAUCAGAUCAGCCUUUAGCCUUGAAACGUCGGUCAGAAAAGUUUUAAAAUUAACGCUAACAAGAAAAAGCUAGGUCAUAUUCCACAAAAGCAAAAGUGACAAAACAAGCAGCUGGUUUCUUUUACUAAACUACAAAUUAAAAGUGGAUUCUUUUGAAUACAAGUGGGACAGACGAUUAGGCUCUUUUUUAUUAAAGGCAAGUAAAAAGUAGUCGAAUAGUCGUUUUCAAAUUAUUGUUUUAUUAUUUUUCCUUCAAAAGUUAGUGUGGCUCAUGUUUGCAGGUGCGAAUGUCCGAUGCUCUUUUUUUAAAGGCAAUUACAGUGGGUCCCGAAUCAUUACUAAAAUUUCUCUUCCACAGCCCACAUCAGCUUCAGGAAUCAGUUUAUCAAACUCAAUCAAUUUUCUUUCUUAACAAAAUUCCAAAGAUGUGUAGCAUUUUUCAGAUCACAUGCGAUGGUGCUUUUUUCAAUCGUUGCUUGGAUUGCUUUCUUGGAAAAGCAGCAUACAUACGUAACCUCCAAGAUAAUCUUGAUGCCUUGGAGACUGAAUUGGGAAAUCUGAUCGCUAGAAAGAACGAUGUGAUGAGGAGGGUUGUCGAUGCUGAACGGCAACAAAUGAGAAGGCUGGACGGAG
RNAcentral lists this long non-coding RNA (49328 nucleotides) under Citrus maxima (pomelo). RNAcentral's name for it is "long non-coding RNA (CMAX_LNC000231)". The record is from RNAcentral. Lineage: Eukaryota; Viridiplantae; Streptophyta; Magnoliopsida; Sapindales; Rutaceae.